Molecule: long non-coding RNA, 57742 nt
Filed under: Triticum aestivum (bread wheat)
Lineage: Eukaryota; Viridiplantae; Streptophyta; Magnoliopsida; Poales; Poaceae
Description: long non-coding RNA (TAES_LNC019786)
Source: RNAcentral
UUUUUUUUUGUCUCUGUCUUCUUUUCUGGUGAGCCCGUUAAUUACACAGAUAUACUAUAAUGCAGCUUUGGGUCCUUCAUCUGCUGAAGAAAAACAGGAUAAUCAACCAGUCAUAUUCAUAUCCAAGCACACCUAUUCUUUGGCCACACGCUCUGGAAGUUUUGGCUCUACCAGCCAGUUAGAGCAAAAAAAUUUUUUGAAACGGAGGCAAAAGCUUUGCCUCGUUCAUUAAAUAAGAGAGAAUAGAGUUUGUUACAAGUCACUCAAUACAUGGCAUGAGAUCACUCUCGCGAAAUGAUGGACCCUAACUUUUUGGCACCGGCGAUGACCCAAAGGUUGGCCUCGGUCUCUAUGGAGGCAAGCAAAAUAGUUGGAGGAGCGCUCUUGUGCUUGAAGACCCUUGCGUUUCGCUCGUUCCAGACAGUCCACGAAACAAGCAUGGUGAGGGACGCCUUAGCUUGGCGGUUUGGCGUGGCGUUGUCGCAGGUACUUGCCCACCAAGCCUCAACUGAGUCGAACAGGGGCCAACCGUUGGUGUGAAGACCGAGAAUAUGGUAUUUGUCAAUGAUCAAAGACCAAAGCCUUCGUGUGUAGCGGCAUUUGUAGAAGAGGUGAGGCCCACAUUCCUGCACUCUCAUGCAGAGAGGGCAGAGACCACAGUUGGGCCACCCACGUUUUGCCAAACGAUCGGCAGUCCAAAUUCUGUCUUGUAGCGCCAACCAAGUGAAGAACUUGACUUUUGGGGGGGGCCCAAGCCUUCCAAACCAUUUUGUCCAAGGGUGUAAGAACCAUCCCUAAGAAUUGUGCCUUGUAUGUGGAUGCCGCCGAGUAGAUUCCACUAGCCGUAUGCUUCCACACAAUGUCAUCCUCGGUGAGAUCAUCAAGUUGGACCUCAUGCAAAAGCGCCCAAAGAGUGAAGAACUACGUGAUGAGCUCCGCGGAGAUGAUGGUGGGCGGUUUGAUCUUGAGGAUCCAUGCAUUGUGUGAGAGGGCCUCCCGAAACUUCCAAUUCUUUCUCUUUGAUGCUUUGUAAAUGAGCGGGGGAAUGUCUUUUGGCUUGCGCCCAUGAAGCCACGGUGAGUCCCAAAAAGGGGUCUUUGCACCAUUGCCAAUGGUGAUAGUAGUGGAAGCAUAGAAAAAGCUUAGGUCCUCCUUGUCGCACGGGUUUCCCAUCCCCGCCCACAUCUUGGUGGGCUCCUUCCAUUCAUACCACGGCCAUCGCAACUGGAGGGCACGUGUAAACUGCUGGGGAACGUAGCAAUAAUUCAAAAUUUCCUACGUGUAACCAAGAUCAAUCUAGGAGAUGCUAGCAACGAGAGAGAAGGAGUGCAUCUUCAUACCCUUGAAGAUCGCUAAGCGGAAGCGUUACAAGAACGCGGUUGAUGGAGUCGUACUCGCAGCGAUUCAAAUCGCGGAAGAUCCGAUCUAGCGCCGAACGGACGGCGCCUCCGCGUUCAACACACGUACAGCCCGGGGACGUCUCCUCCUUCUUGAUCCAGCAAGGGGAGAGGAGAAGUUGAGGGAGAACUCCAGCAGCACGACGGCGUGGUGGCAAUGGAGCUCGUGGUUCUCCGGCAGAGCUUCGCUAAGCACUACGGAGGAGGAGAAGGAGGUGUAUGAGGAGGGAGGGCUGCGCCAGGGAAGAGGUGCGGCUGCCCUCCCACCCCUCCGCUAUAUAUAGGGGCAAGGGGAGAGGGGGAGGCGCCCUAGGGUUUCCCCUAGGGGGCGGCGGCCAAGCAGAUUGGAUCUCCCUAGGGAAAAUCCUAGGGAGACUUGCCCCCCAAGCCAAGCAGGUGGAGGCUUGCCUCCCAAGCCAGGUGGAGGCGCCCCACCUCCCCAAGUAACGUGGGAAAGGGUGUGGGGGGCGCACCACCCCUUAGUGGGCUGGUUUGCCCCUUCCCCUUUGGCCCAUGAGGCCCUCCAACACUUGUCGGGGCUCCCGAAAUACCUUUCGGUCAUGCUGGCCAUAGCCUGGUACCCCCAGAACACUUCCGGACUCCAAUACCCUUCGUCCAAUAUAUCGAUCUUCACCGCCGAACCAUUCCGGAACUCCUCGUGAUGUCCGGGAUCUCAUCCCGGGACUCCGAACAACCUUCGGUAACCACAUACUAUUUCCCAUAACAACUCUAGCGUCACCGAACCUUAAGUGUGUAGACCCUACGGGUUCGGGAACCAUGCAGACAUGACCGAGACACCUCUCCGGCCAAUAACCAAUAGCGGGAUCUGGAUACCCAUAUUGGCUCCCACAUGUUCCACGAUGAUCUCAUCGGAUGAACCACGAUGUCGGGGAUUCAAUCAAUCCCGUAUACAAUUCCCUUUGUCUAUCGUCAUGUUGCUUGCCCGAGAUUCGAUCGUCGGUAUCCCAAUACCUCGUUCAAUCUUGUUACCGGCAAGUCUCUUUACUCGUUCCGUAACGCAUGAUCCCGUGGCUAACUCCUUAGUCACAUUGAGCUCAUUAUGAUGAUGCAUUACCGAGUGGGCCCAGAGAUACCUCUCUGUCAUACGGAGUGACAAAUCCCAGUCUCGAUUCGUGCCAACCCAACAGACACUUUUGGAGAUACCUGUAGUGCACCUUUAUAGCCACCCAGUUACGUUGUGACGUUUGGUACACCCAAAGCAUUCCUACGGUAUCCGGGAGUUGCACAAUCUCAUGGUCUAAGGAAACGAUAUUUGACAUUAGAAAAGCUCUUAGCAAACGAACUACACGAUCUUGUGCUAUGCUUAGGAUUGGGUCUUGUCCAUCACAUCAUUCUCCUAAUGAUGUGAUCCCGUUAUCAAUGACAUCCAAUGUCCAUGGUCAGGAAACCAUAACCAUCUAUUGAUCAACGAGCUAGUCAACUAGAGGCUUACUAGGGACAUGUUGUGGUCCAUGUAUUCACACAUGUAUUACGGUUUCCAGUUAAUACAAUUAUAGCAUGAACAAUAGACAAUUAUCAUGAACAAGGAAAUACAAUAAUAACCAUUUUAUUAUUGCCUCUAGGGCAUAUUUCCAACAUAAACUUGUUGGUGUUGAGAACCCCAAGUCCCCCAUAUUGAAGUGGCCGGCAAACAAUAUCCCAAUUGACCUUGCAUUUUGCUCCCGUUGUCUUGUCCGAACCGGACCAAAGGAAAGCUCUCUCAAGUUUGUUGACUUUGAGCAAGAUGGUUGGUGGAAUAACUAGCGGUGUGGUGGGGUUGUCACGCCCAAUAUGCGAUACUAUCCUAAAGAGACUCGAAGGUCCCACCAAGGAUAGAACCGCAUAUUGACACGCUUUUGCAAGGUGGAUAUCAUUACAUCAAACCAUUACAUAAAUAGUUGGGGAUACAUACAAAGGCACAAACGCCCCAAGAAUACAUCAACAUCAUUCAAGAGAACAACAUCCGCCUACGGAUGAAACACAAACAGGAACUCAAACAAUAUCCACCCUGCUAGCCCAGGCUGCCGACCCGGAACCUAACCCAAGAUCGACGAAGAAGAAGAAGAACUCCAACACAAGUAAACAUCGCUCUCACGUCAUGAUCAUCGCAUAGACUGUACCUGCAACUGUUGUUGUAGUAUUCUGUGAGCCACGAGGACUCAGCAAUCCCAUUACCAUGGGUACCAAGACUAGCAAAGUUUAAUGGGUAAGGAAGGGGUAAAGUGGUGAGGUUGCAGCAGCGACUAAGCAUGUAUGGUGGCUAACUUACGAAUACAAGAGUAAGAUGAGAAGCUACGUAAACGGUCGCAAACUAGAAAUGAUCAAGAAGUGAUCAUGUACUACUACUUACGUCAAACAUAACCCAAAAACCGUGUUCUCCUCUCGAACAACCACGAAAAGAGACAAUCACGGUUACGCACGCGGUUGGUGUAUGUCGCGGAAUUGUCACGGCAGAUGUCCUAGGGUGAGGACUUCGUCGUGAGGCUAGCGCAUCUAUGUAGUAGCUUGAGAGGGGUUGAGCGGAAUCGAGAGACGCAACACAAGACGAGGAUUUAGACAGCUCUGGGCCCCGGGAAACAUCAUCCGGUAAUAACCCUACAUGCUGUUUGAGGCUAGAUCUCAUUAUCAUCACGAGGGAGUCACCGUAAACCGGCUCUCCUCUAAUUGUGUCUAGCCCUAGAGAUUAUUGAUUGUUGCCUGUAGCUUGUCCCUCUUUGGGGAGCCCUGCCCCUCCUUAUAUAUGUUGAAGGGGCGGGUUACAUGUGGAGUCCUAUUAGGAUUAGGACUAGUCUAUCUCUAAUACAAACCGGAUACAAGUCCAGGUCUUAUCUCCUUGUAAGACAAAUAUUCCUCACGCCUUUCCUUGUAAACCGGACCACCAUAGUAUGAACCGGCCUUCUGGGCCUUGGGCCUUGUCACCGUCUGUCCCGCCCGCCGGGUUACCAGUGAAUCAUAAUGUUCAGUCAGGUUGCUUGUAAACCGUCUGGUCUGUGCGGGUCGCCGGUGAAUCGCCAAGUGUUUAGCGGGGUCUCAAAUAAACCGCCAAGUCCGGCUGGGUUAUACUUCCGGCCGCUUUACGCCGCGGGGUAUAUCCCCGACAUUAGCCCCCAGUUUAAUUUGGAUUUAUCCAUGUUAAACUAAUCCUGUAAAAUAAACACAAGAACAAACUUGACAGAUUAUUCUCCGGGUUAAGAAUUCUUGUAAACCGGCAUCUGAUCAUCCUUAAGUCCUUGUCAUUUCCUCCUUCUAGAAAAUCCGGGUCAACAGGCCAGCUUCAUACUCAAUUUGCUGACAUUGGUUUCUCACACAGAAAUAUUGUGAAGAAUAAUCCACUUGAGUCGGCUUCAAAAGCGCCGGUUUAAGAAAUAUUGGUUUUGAAAUACUCAUCUGAUAUUCAACCGGUUUGAAGAUGUAGAACUUGCCGGUUUAUCAUUGCCAAAACUGCUGGGUUAUAAAAACUGAUAAUUCCGGGUUAUGAUUGUUGCCAACGCCGAUUCAUGAUUGUUGCAGACACCGGGUCAUAAUGAUUGGUGAUGCCGGGUCAAUCUGGUUUGCUCAAAACUGAAAAUCGGAAGAUAUUUCUCCCUUAUAUCCAUAUUACUUGUAGCCCCCAAGUCUUGAACAGAACAAAGUGAUGAUUUGAGACUUGUUUCCAUAUAACUACUGCUACUUUGAAGAAAUCCAUGUUGUUCAUCUCUAGUAAAAACUGAAUACUCCAUAUAUGUAGCCCCCAAGUACCGGGUUGUCAUGCUUGCAGCAACCUGGGACUUGUAAUUGCUUAUAAAAACUUCAAUCAGUGUAGCCCCCAAGGGUCGGGUCAUUAUGCAAUAAUGAGCAGGGACUUUGUAAAUAUAAUCAUGUAGACUUGAGCAGUGAUGUGUAGCCCCCAAGGGCCGGCUUAGUAAGAUAAUACUGAACCGGGACUUGAUAUAUACUUCAAUGAAAAUAACAUCUUAUAAUGUAGCUUCCAUCGUAGGGCUUGAACCCACGUCCAUAAGGUUAAGAGCUUUGUGCUUUACCAACUGAGCAGUGGAUCCUUCAAUAUAAUGGACGAAAACUUGUGUACCUCGAAUUGUUGACAGGAGCAAUUGGUAGCCCCCAAUGGCCGGCUCAUUAUGAUAUGAUGAGUCGGGUCUUCAAUAAGACUAGUAAAAAUGACUUUGCAUUAGCCCCCAAGUGUCAUGGUGCAUGCUUGCAGCGACAUGAGACUUGCGUGUAAUCUCAAUUUGAAUAAUGUAAUCCCGAAGUGCCGGGUUGUAAGCCUGCAGCAACUCGGGACUAUUCCUUCCAUUGUAGAAUAAAUCAUAUCCUUUGAUAAAAUAAUAGCCAUUGCGCUAAAGCGACUUUGAAAACCUCAAUAAUACUGGUUAUUAAUAACCAUAAAAAAUCCAGCCAUGUUGCCUAUUCAAGAUAAUAUAAUCUGGUAUGAAAACCUUAUUCAUUCAAUAUCAUAAUGAAAAUUCAGCCAAGUUUGACUAUUUGAAUAAUAUAACCCAAUGAUCUACAAGUGCAUGAUUCCAAUGGCGCAAUCCAAAUAUAUACUGGCAACUUACAGUCCAAAGCCAGGUCGAGUUAACAAACACCGGAUAACUUCUCAUCAUAUGCUGGCGACUUAUCGUCGUAAAGCCAGGCCGGUUUAAUAAACACCGGAUAAUUUAUCAUCAUACUGGCGACUUAUAGUCGAAAGCCAGGCCGGGUUAAUAAACGCCGGUGAUUUAUAAUCAUGCUUUAUUCAACCUGUUUCUCCGUACAACAAGUUUAAAGUGUCCUGGCGGUUUACCGCCGGACGGGUCAUAAUGCCCAACAUAUAACCCGGGUUUAUAACCAAGGCUGCACUUAAGAAUAAUCAAAUAUGAAAUAUAUCAUACCUGUGACAUUGAAUCACAUCGUUGGUUUACCAACUUUUUAUAGUAAGGGUGAUAACCCAAAUUUUGAGUACUAAUAACUCCUUCCAUAUUGUGCCGGUUUAUGAUAAAACCGUACCGGGUUGUGAUAAACACCGGUUUAUUCCAUACUGGUAACUAUGAGUCAAAACCAGACCGGGCCGGAUUAUAACUUGGUCAUGUACUGACAACUUGUAGUUGACAGCCUAACCGGGUUGAUAAACACCGGUUUGAAAACAUCACAAAUCUUAGCAAAAGAAAAGGAAACUUAGCAAAAGGCAAAUAAAACCGUUGUAGUCGAGGCUUUUCACGGGCUGCCAGGCCCCAAAUUUGAUCAAGAGGUGUUGCUAUGGUUCGGGUUCGACCAAGCCCCCAAGUGAUGACGUGGCAUUACGCCGAUCAAAAGGCAUUGCUAUGGUUCGGGUUCGACCUAGCCCCCAAGUGAUGCUGUGGUUUUACGCCGAUCAAGAGGCGUAGCCAUGGUUCGGGUUCGACCAUGCUCCCAAGUGAUGUUGUGGCAUUACGCCGAUCAAGAGGCGUGGCUAUGGUUCGGAUACGACCAAGCCCCCAAGUGAUGCUGUGGCAUUGCGCCGAUCAAGAGGCGUGGCUAUGGUUCGGUUACGACCAAGCCCCCAAGUGAUGUUUUGGCAUUGCGCCGAUCAAGAGGUGUAGCUAUGGUUCGGAUACGACCAAGCCCCCAAGUGAUAUUGUAUAAAGCCAUGUUUGAACCGCGCAUCAUGGCAGCAGGUCCUCUUUGGCAACCUUUACCUUUUUGCAAGAGAUAAAUUCUUCUUGAACCGGGAUUUUGAACCGGAUAUUGAGAGCUUCAAAGAUUUGUGGGAGACAUCUUUCCCUUGAACCGGAUUUUAAACCGGAAUCUUCAUUUUCAGCCGGAAAUUUUCUGAUGGCCUUUAAACUCGAACUUGCGAGAAGUUAAUUCCUUUUUGAACCGAACAUUUUCAAACCGGAUUUGAGAGCUUUAGAGCUUUGUGGGAGACAGAUUUCCCUUGAACCGGAUAUUUGAGAGCUCCAGUUAGACUGACUUCCCUUGAGCCGGAUUUUAAACCGGAAUCCUUUCUGAUGACCCGGAACUUCUUCAUUGAGCCGGGAUUUUGUAACUGUCAUAUACUUUCUAAGCCGGAAAUUUUCUGACGGCCUUUAAAUUUUCAUCAAUAUAACAGUAGCCUCCGGGACCGGGUUAUCUUUCCCUCCAUCGUCCUGGGGUUCUUAAAUUUGCUGAACUUGGCAAGAUUUGCUGAGUCAUGUCAUCAUAGCCCCCCGAGUCUCAAAGGUGACUCGAGGAGUUGGCUUGAAACUCUCCAUAUUGGACCGUGAUAUAAACGGGCAUAACUUGUAUAUCAUUGGUGUUGAUAGCACGAUGUAAAUCCACAGAAGGCUGAGGUGACCGCGGCGGGUUAUUAAUGAUCCCGGAUGAGCCGUGCCAGCAACUCAGCCAAUGGUUCCUUCCAACUGGCGAUUUGAAGUUAACCAAACUGUAGUAGCGGCGACUUGUGCGCCUGCCCAUUGAGCCACCCAGUGCAGACGGCGGUUGACAGUAUAUGAUAAUUUGCCUCUAUUUUGUUGAAAGAAAACCGGGCUACCCAAGCAGUGACUUGCUCAUACUCAAUAAACAGCUCAUGCAGACAUGUGCGGCCCGGUAUGUUGAUGUAGACCAGGCCGCGAGAGACGGACGACAAGGACGACCGCAACAUCGGAAGCAGCUCGGAUAGAUGAGUCGGCUGCCGUAUUGUAAGCCGGUGCGGACGGGGAAGAUCGGCACCGGUGUCGUAAACUGGCUCGGACGGGCAAGUUAAUCGCGGGGCGCGGUCCCAGCAAGCUGAUGUAAACCGGGCCACAGGGACGGCGACUUGCGCACAUUCAUUCACCGGGUGGUAUGACACGGACGAAACGCCGGUGCAGAACGUUGCUAGCGUGUGCUCCGUGCCCGUAAUAUGACGCCUCAUUUGUAAUGAACAAUCGUCCUGCGUCAAAAAAUACCACAUGCCAAAGUAAUUGUUCACAUAAAAAUUAAUAUAUGCUAUGAAAACAAAAUCGGACGGAUAUCACCUGAUGUUUGUGAAUGACAGAUGAUCUGUACGCCGCGUCAGAGGCAUCUCGGUGGUUCAGGCAGACCGGCGACUCCCGAUGACUCAACACGGCAGAGGCAGCUCAAUGUGGCCCCGACGGUUUAACGCGGUGGCGACGGCGACAUUGGGAUGAAGCCUUUUCAGAAUUGUUUCUAUACUGACACCUUUUUUUGUUCGAGGGACAUCCAACUUGCCGUACCACCAACAAUGAGUAGUAUCAGACCCUUCUUGAUUAAAAUAGCACAAGUGUCAACGUUGGUCUUGAGCCUUUGGAACUUGGCAUUCAACUUGUGCAGCACCUUGCUAGGAGACUCCUCAAAAAUCUGUGCAAACCAGAGUAACGCAGUAGUGAGGAGCGCUGCGGCGGCUCGGCGGGACAGCAGCAGUGGGCGGCUCGUGGCGGCGACUCAAAGCCUGGUCGGCGCGGCGGCUCUGCAGUGGCUCACGGCAGCGGCUGUGGACUCAGCAGGGACCGGGUCUUCGUGCAACCAUGGCAGCAAUUUUAGACAGCUCGACGGCGCGCGACAACGACGGUCGAGCAAGGAGAGGUUAACAGAGACGCAGUAAGGCGCGGCAGAAGCAACGCUCGCAGGCGGCAGGUCAAACUUGAAGCAGGACGACCACAGCGGCGGUUUGGAACACCGGUGGGGGCGGCUCGGAGGCUGCGACGGUUGUAGCAGAAGCAUACUGGUGAAACGGUGGCUCAGUAGAGGCUCCGGCAGGACAAGGCGGCUCAAUGCGGGACAGCCCGGAAGGCGACCGGGCGGCUCACGGCGCUGGGCGACUCAACGGGCGACGGGCUGCUCGCGCCGGGGCGGCUCAGUGGCUCGGCGAUCGGCGGUUCGAACGACGAGGGCGCGACGGCGGCGACCGGCCCAGAGGUGACGGGAGGUCCUGGCGGGUCGGCGAAAGCGAAUGCGCGGCCGGCUUCGACGAGGUUGGAACGAGGGAGGCGCCCGAUUCAGUGGCGGCGACUCAGGGCCAGCAGAGCGGCGCAUCCAACGAAGAGGGCUAGCGGAGCGAGCCGCGGCGACGGGUUGAAUCAGGUCGCAAGAAAUCAACUCCCAUCGCGGCUCAGUAAACAGGCGUGGAGGCGCUGCGGCGACUCUGGCGGAGGAUCGAAUCCAUGUCUGCUUUCCGUGUCGUGGCCGGCUUAAUCGACUCUCGUCCGUGUCCUCCUUCCAGUCGUGGUUGGUUUGACUCUCCCUUUUUUUGACUUGAUUGUUUCUCAGAUCCGACUCAUACUAGCAAUACUUGAUAGCUUUGUUUGUACGCCCAUAGGAAACGGGGAUCAAACUCUGUAGCUUGAUAUGACGAGUUACCAAUACUUGAUAAUUUGUUAUGGGCUAUCUGACUAGCUCUGUCUCCAUGCGGAUGGGUUGAUGAUUCUGAUGGAUUUGAUGUGUGCGCUUUCAGAGGCGUUGCUUCUGAUUGUCCAUCCGUCCUGGCGUGAAGACGGCCACAGCAGAGGAGAGCAGCCGCGGGUUAAGACCAACAGACACAGCUCCGCUCGAGGUAGAGGCGAGAUGAGGGGGCAACUCGAGGCCGUGGAGGCCGAGUCAGGCGGCUUGGGAGGCCGCUGGGACAACGCAACGGCUGAGGGGAGUCGCGGCGGCUCAACGCGCUGAACACUCGAAGCAGGGCCGGUGUCCAAUCCUUUUUCGGGUCGUGUUUGGGUUGACGCCCCGCCCCAUUGCUGUGUAUAGUUGAAUCGGAAACUUGUCGGUCUCGGCGACUUGCACGCGUGCCGAACUAGCAGCGCCCGCUCCCAACAUCGAUCUGGCUUUCAGAUCGUUUGUGCAUUAAAGGAAAAAUAGCACAAGCGGCUACAAGUUGAUGCUCCAGGACUUGUACUGUGCCCAAUCAUACUCCAACGGAAGUUGACGGUCUUAUCGACGUGGUGAUUUGACAGCUUGAUGGAUUGCUAGAUGCGCACAGCCCGCCGAGAAAAAUUGACCGCAUCCACCGGAUUGCACAGUGACAUGAAGAUUAAAAUCCUGUCGGCCCUUUGUAACCCUAAAUUUCUUGAACCUUCAAUCGUUACAGAUCUCAAAUUCGGACUGAUGAACUUGAAGUUGAUACAAAUCCCUCCAAACCAGCUCAUCCGGAAAAUUGCAAAACUUCUUGAUCCCUGGGAGAGGUCCCUCCAAUAACUCAACACCACCGUGCGCGAGCCCCACGGUGGGCGCCAACUAUCGCGGAAUUGUCACGGCAGAUGUCCUAGGCUGAGGACUUAGUCGUGAGGCCAGCGCAUCUAUGUAGUAGCUUGAGAGGGGUUGAGUGGAAUCGAGAGACGCAACACAAGACGAGGAUUUAGACAGCUUCGGGCCCCGGGAAACAUCAUCCGGUAAUAACCCUACAUGCUGUUUGAGGCUAGAUCUCAUUAUCAUCACGAGGGAGUCGCCGUAAACCGGCUCUCCUUUAAUUGUGUCUAGCCCUAGAGAUUAUUGAUUGUUGCCUGUAGCUUGUCCCUCUUUGGGGAGCCCUGCCCCUUCUUAUAUAUGUUAAGGGGCGGGUUACAUGUGGAGUCCUAUUAGGAUUAGGACUAGUCUAUCUCUAAUACAAACCGGAUACAAGUCCAGGUCUUAACUCCUUGUAAGACAAAUAUUCCUCACGCCUUUCCUUGUAAACCGGACCACCAUAGUAUGAAUCGGCCUUCUGGGCCUUGGGCCUUGUCACCGUCUGUCCCGCCCGUCGGAUUACCAGUGAAUCAUAACGUUCAGUCAGGUUGCUUGUAAACCGUCUGGUCUGUGCGGGUCGCCGGUGAAUCACCAAGUGUUUAGCGGGGUCUCAAAUAAACCGCCAAGUCCGGCCGGGUUAUACUUCCGGCCGGUUUACGCCGCGGGGUAUAUCCCCGACAGUGUAUUUUAGAAGAGUUUACUUCAAGUUUACUACAACCGGAUAUUAACAAAUUCCCAUCUACCACAUAACCGCGGGCACCGGUCUUGAAAGUUUAUACCCUGCAGGGGUGUCCCAGCUUAGCCCAUCACAAGCUCUCACGGUCAACGAAGGAUAUUCCUUCUCCCGGGAAGACCCGAUCAGUCUCGGAAUCCCGGUUACAAGACAUUUCGACAAUGGUAAAACAAGACCAGCAAAGCCGCCCGAUGUGUCGACAAUCCAGAUAGGAGUCGCACAUAUCUCGUUCUCAGGACACACCGGAUAGGUCAAGCUACGAGUAAAACCAGCCCUCAAGUUGCCCCGAGGUGGCCCCGCAGGCUGCUCGGUUCGGACCAACACUGAAGGAAAUAUGCCCUAGAGGCAAUAAUAAAGUUAUUAUUUAUUUCCUUAUUUCAUGAUAAAUGUUUAUUAUUCAUGCUAGAAUUGUAUUAACCGGAAACAUAAUACAUGUGCGAAUACAUAGACAAACAUAGUGUCACUAGUAUGCCUCUACUUGACUAGCUCGUUAAUCAAAGAUGGUUAAGUUUCCUAACCAUAGACAUGAGUUGUCAUUUGAUUAACGGGAUCACAUCAUUAGGAGAAUGAUGUGAUUGACUUGACCCAUUCCGUUAGCUUAGCACUUGAUCGUUUAGUAUGUUGCAAUUGCUUUCUUCAUGACUUAUACAUGUUCCUAUGACUAUGAGAUUAUGCAACUCCCGUUUAUCGGAGGAACACUUUGUGUGCUACCAAACGCCACAACGUAACUGGGUGAUUAUAAAGGUGCUCUACAGGUGUCUCCGAAGGUACUUGUUGGGUUGGCGUAUUUCGAGAUUAGGAUUUGUCACUCCGAUUGUCGGAGAGGUAUCUCUGGGCCCACUCGGUAAUGCACAUCACUAUAGCCUUGCAAGCAUUGUAACUAAUGAGUUAGUUACGGGAAGAUGUAUUACGGAACGAGUAAAGAGACUUUCCAGUAACGAGAUUGAACUAGGUAUUGAGAUACCGACGAUCGAAUCUCGGGCAAAUAACAUACCGAUGACAAAGGGAACAAACGUAUGUUGUUAUGCGGUUUGACCGAUAAAGAUCUUCGUAGAAUAUGUGGGAGCCAAUAUGAGCAUCCAGGUUCCGCUAUUGGUUAUUGACCGGAGACGUUUCUCGGUCAUGUCUACAUAGUUCUCGAACCCGUAGGGUCCGCACGCUUAAAGUUUCGGUGACGAUUGUAUUAUGAGUUUAUGUGAUUUGAUGUACCGAAGGUAGUUCAGAGUCCGGGAUGAGAUCGGGGACAUGACGAGGAGUCUCGAAAUGGUCGAGACGUAAAGAUCGUUAUAUUGGACGACUAUAUUCGGACAUCGGAAAGGUUCCGAGUGAUUCGGGUAUUUUCGGAGUACCGGGGAGUUACGGGAAUUCACCGGGAGAAGUAUUGGGCCUCAUUGGGCCAUACGGGAAUAGAGGAGAGAGGCCAAAAGGAAGGAGGCGCACGCCCCCCCUCUGGUUCGAAUUGGAUAAGGGGUGCAGCCCCCUUUUCCUUCUCCCUCUCCCCCUCUUUCCUUCUCUCCUACUCCGGAAAGGAAAGGGGAAUCCUACUAGGACUUGGGAGUCCUAGUAGGACUCCCCACACUUGGCGCGCCCCCUCUAGGGCCGGCCUCUCCCUCCCUCCUUUAUAUACGGGGGCAGGGGGCACCUCUAGACACAACAAUUGAUCUCUUAGCCGUGUGCGGUGCCCCCCUCCACCAUAUUCUACCUCGAUCAUAUCGUAGCGGUGCUUAGGCGAAGCCCUGUGUCGGUAGCAUCAUCAUCACCGUCACCACGCCGUCGUGCUGACGGAACUCUCCCGUGAAGCUCUGCUGGAUCGUAGUUCGCGGGACGUCAUCGAGCUGAACGUGUGCUGAACUCGGAGGUGUCGUACGUUCGGUACUUGGAUCGGUCGGAUCGUGAAGACGUACGACUACAUCAACCGCGUUGUGCUAACGCUUCCGCUUUCGGUCUACAAGGGUACGUGGACAACACUCUCCCCUCUCGUUGCUAUGCAUCACCAUGAUCCUGUGUGUGCGUAGGAAUUUUUUUGAAAUUACUAUGUUCCCCAGCAGUGGCAUCCGAGCCUGAUUUUAUGCGUAGAUGUUAUAUGCACGAGUAGAACACAAGUGAGUUGUGGGCGAUACAAGUCAUACUGCUUACCAGCAUGUCAUACUUUGGUUCCGCGGUAUUGUUGGAUGAAGCGGCCCGGACCGACAUUACGCGUACGCUUACGCGAGACUGGUUCUACCGACGUGCUUUGCACACAGGUGGCUGGCAGGUGUCAGUUUCUCCAACUUUAGUUGAACCGAGUGCGGCUACGCCCGGUCCUUGAGAAGGUUAAAACAGCACUAACUUGACGAACUAUUGUUGUGGUUUUGAUGCGUAGGUAAGAACGGUUCUUGCUCAGCCCGUAGCAGCCACGUAAAACUUGCAACAACAAAGUAGAGGACGUCUAACUUGUUUUUGCAGGGCAUGUUGUGAUGUGAUAUGGUCAAGACAUGAUGCUAUAUUUUAUUGUAUGAGAUGAUCAUGUUUUGUAACCGAGUUAUCAGCAACUGGCAGGAGCCAUAUGGUUGUCGCUUUAUUGUAUGCAAUGCAAUCGCCCUGUAAUGCUUUACUUUAUCACUAAGCGGUAGCGAUAGUCAUAGAAGCAUAAGUUGGUGAGACGACAGCGAUGCUACGAUGGAGAUCAAGGUGUCGCGCCGGUGACGAUGGUGAUCAUGACGGUGCUUCGGAGAUGGAGAUCACAAGCACAAGAUGAUGAUGGCCAUAUCAUAUCACUUAUAUUGAUUGCAUGUGAUGUUUAUCUUUUAUGUAUCUUAUCUUGCUUUGAUUGACGGUAGCAUUAUAAGAUGAUCUCUCACUAAAUUUCAAGAUAAAAGUGUCCUCCCUGAGUAUGCACCGUUGCGAAAGUUCUUCGUGCUGAGACACCACAUGAUGAUCGGGUGUGAUAGGCUCUACGUUCAAAUAGAACGGGUGCAAAACAGUUGCACACACGGAAUACUCAGGUUAAACUUGACGAGCCUAGCAUAUGCAGAUAUGGCCUCGGAACACUGAGACCGAAAGGUCGAGCGUGAAUCAUAUAGUAGAUAUGAUCAACAUAGUGAUGUUCACCAUUGAAACUACUCCAUCUCACGUGAUGAUCAGAUAUGGUUUAGUUGAUUUGGAUCACGUGAUCACUUAGAUGAUUAGAGGGAUGUCUAUCUAAGUGGGAGUUCUUAAGUAAUAUGAUUAAUUGAACUUUAAUUUAUCAUGAACUUAGUCCUGGUAGUAUUAGCAUAUCUAUGUUGCAGAUCAAUAGCUCGCGAUGUUGCUCCCCGUUUUUUAAUAUCUUCGUAGAGAAAAACUAUGUUGAAAGAUGUUAGUAGCAAUGAUGCGGACUUGGUCCGUGAUCUGAGGAUUAUCCUCAUUGCUGCACAGAAGAAUUAUGUCCUUGAUGCACCGCUAGGUGACAGAACUAUUGCAGGAGCAGAUGCAGAUGUUUUGAACGUUUUGACAAAAGCUCGAUAUGAUAACUACUUGAUAGUAUAAUGCACCAUGCUUUACGGCUUAGAACCGGGACUUCAAAAAAUAUUUGAACGCCACGGAGCAUAUAAGAUGUUCCAAGAGUUGAAAUUGGUAUUUCAUACUCAUGCCCGUGUUAAGAGGUAUGAGACCUCUGACAUUACCUUGCCUACAAGAUGGAGGAGAAUAGCUCAACCAGUAAGCAUGUGCUCAGAUUGUCUGAGUACUACAAUCACUUGAAUCAAGUGGGAGUUAAUCUUCCAGAUAAGAUAGUGAUUGACAAAGUUCUCUAGUCACUAUCACCAAGUUUCUAGAACUUCGUGAUGAACUAUAAUAUGCAAGGGAUAACGGAAACGAUUCCCAAGCUCUUCGUGAUGCCGAAAUCGACGAAGGUAGAAAUCAAGAAAAACAUCAAGUGUUGAUGGUUAACAAGACCACUAGUUUCAAGAAAAGGGCAAAGGGAAGAAGGGGAACUUCAAGAAGAAUGGCAAGAAAGUUGCUGCUCAAGUGAAGAAGCCCACGUCUGGACCUAAGCCUGAAACUAAGUGCUUCUACUGCAAAGGGACUAGUCACUGGAAGAGGAACUGCCCCAAGUAUUUGGUGGAUAAGAAAGAUGGCAAAAUGAACAAAGGUAUAUUUGAUAUACAUGUUAUUGAUGUGUACUUUACUAGUGUUUAUAGCAACCCCGCGGUAUUUGAUACUAGUUCAGUUGCUAAGAGUAGUAACUCGAAACAGGAGUUGCAGAAUGAACAUAAACUAGUUAAGAGUGAAGUGACGAUGUGUGUUGGAAGCAGUUCCAAGAUCGAUAUGAUCAUCAUCGCACACUCCCUAUACUUUCGGGAUUAUUGUUGAACCUAAAUAAAUGUUAUUUGGUUUUGCGUUGAGCAUGAAUAUGAUUUGAUCAUGUUUAUUGCAAUACGGUUAUUCAUUUAAAUUAGAGAAUAAUUGUUGUUCUGUUUACAUGAAUAAAACCUUCUAUGGUCAUACACCCAAUGAAAAUGGUUUGUUGGAUCUCGAUUGUAGUGAUACACAUAUUCAUAAUAUUGAAGCUAAAAGAUGCAAAGUUAAUAAUGAUAGUGCAACUUAUUUGUGGCACUGCCGUUUAGGUCAUAUUGGUGUAAAGCGCAUGAAGAAACUCCAUGCUGAUGGAUUUUUGGAAUCACUUGAUGCUUGCGAACCAUGCCUCAUGGGCAAGAUGACUAAGACUCCGUUCUCUGGAACAAUGGAGCGAGCAACCGACUUAUUAGAAAUAAUACAUACUGAUGUAUGCAGUCCGAUGAGUGUUAAGGCUCGCGGCGGGUAUCGUUAUUUUCUGACCUUCACAGAUGAUUUGAGCAGAUAUGGGUAUAUCUACUUGAUGAAACAUAAGUCUGAAACAUUUGAAAAGUUCAAAGAAUUUCAGAGUGAAGUGGAAAAUCAUCGUGACAAGAAAAUAAAGUUUCUACGAUCUGAUCGCGGAGACAAAUAUUUGAGUUACAAGUUUGGACUUCAAUUAAAACAAUGUGGAAUAGUUUCACAAAUUCGUGCCACCUGAAACACCACAGCAUAAUGGUGUGUCCGAACGUCAUAACCGUACUUUAUUGGAUAUAGUGCAAUCUAUGAUGUUUCUUACUGAUUUACCACUAUAGUUUUGGGGUUAUGCAUUAGAGACAGCUGCAUUCACGUUAAAAAGGGCACCAUCUAAAUCCGUUGAGACGACACCAUAUGAACUGUGGUUUGGCAAGAAACAAAAGUUGUCAUUUCUUAACGUUUGGGGUUGCGAUGCUUACAAGAAAAAAGUUUCAACCUGAUAAGCUCAAACCCAAAUCGGAGAAAUGUGUCUUCAUAGGAUACCCAAAGGAGAUAGUUGGGUACACCUUCUAUCACAAAUCCGAAGGCAAGAUAUUCGUUGCUAAGAAUGGAUCCUUUCUAGAGAAGGAGUUUCUCUCGAAAGAAGUGAGUGGGAGGAAAGUAGAACUUGAUGAGGUAACUGUACCUGCUCCCUUAUUGGAAAGUAGUUCAUCACAGAAAUCUGUUCCUGUGACUACUACACCAACUAGUGAGGAAGCUAAUGAUGAUGAUCAUGUAACUUCAGAUCAAAUUACUAUCGAACCUCAUAGGUAAACCAGAGUGAGAUCCGCACCAGAGUGGUACGGUAAUCCUGUUCUGGAGGUCAUGUUACUUGACCAUGACGAACCUACGAACUAUGAGGAAGCGAUGAUGAGCCCAGAUUCCGCAAAAAUGGCUUGAAGCCAUGAAAUCUGAGAUGGGAUCCACGUAUGAGAACAAAGUGUGGACUUUGGUUGACUUGCCCGAUGAUCGGCAAGCCAUAGAAAAUAAAUGGAUCUUCAAGAGGAAGACGGAUUCUGAUAGUAGUGUUACUAUCCACAAAUCUAGACUUGUCGAAAAAAAGGUUUUUGACAAAGUUUAAGGUGUUGACAACGAUGAGAUUUUCUCAUUCGUAGCGAUGCUUAAGUCUGUCCGAAUCAUGUUAGCAAAUUGCCACAUUUUAUGAAAUCUGGCAAAUGGAUGUCAAAACUACAUUCCUUAAUGGAUUUCUUAAAGAAGAGUUGUAUAUGAUGCAACUAGAAGGUUUUGUCGAUCCUAAAGGUGCUAACAAAAUGUGCAAGCUCCAGCGAUCCAUCUAUGGACUGGUGCAAGCAUCUCGGAGUUGGAAUAUACACUUUGAUGAGUUGAUCAAAGCAUAUAGUUUUAUACAGACUUGCGGUGAAGCCUGUAUUUACAAGAAAGUGAGUGGGAGCACUACAGCAUUUCUGAUAAAUAUAUGUGAAUGACAUAUUGUUGAUCGAAAAUAAUGUAGAAUUUUCUGGAAAGCAUAAAGGAGUAUUUGAAAGGAGUUUUUCAAAGAAGGACCUCGGUGAAGCUGCUUACAUAUUGAGCAUCAAGAUCUAUAGAGAUAGAUCAAGACGCUUGAUAAGUUUUUCCAAUGAGUACAUACCUUGACAAGAUUUUGAAAUAGUUCAAAAUGGAACAGUCAAAGAAAGACUUCUUGCCUGUGUUACAAGGUGUGAAAUUGAGUAAGACUCAAGGCCCGACCAUGGCAGAAGAUAGAAAGAGAAUGAAAGUCAUUCCCUAUGCCUCAGUCAUAGGUUCUAUAAAGUAUGCCAUGCUGUGUACCAGAUCUAUUGUAUACCCUACCACUGAGUUUGGCAAGGGAGUACAAUAGUGAUCUAGGAGUAAAUCAGUGGACAGCGGUCAAAAUUAUCCUUAGUGGAAUAAGGAUAUGUUUCUCGAUUAUGGAAGUGACAAAAGGUUCGUCGUAAAGGGUUACGUCAAUGCAAGUUUUGACACUGAUCCAGAUGACUCUAAGUCUCAAUCUGGAUACAUAUGGAAAGUGGGAGCUAUUAGCUAGAGUAGCUCCGUGCAGAGCAUUGUAGACAUAGAAAUUUGCAAAAUACUUACGGAUCUGAAUGUGACAGACCCGUUGACUAAAAUUAUCUCACAAGCAAAACAUGAUCACACCUUAGUACUCUUUGGGUGUUAAUCACAUAGCGAUGUGAACUAGAUUACUGACUCUAGUAAACCCAUUGGGUGUUGGUCACAUAUCGAUGUGAACUAUGGGUGUUAACCACAUAAAGAUGUGAACUAUUGACGUUAAAUCACAUGGCGAUGUGAACUAGAUUAUGGACUCUAGUGCAAGUGGGAGACUGAAGGAAAUAUGCCCUAGAGGCAAUAAUAAAGUUAUUAUUUAUUUCCUUAUUUCAUGAUAAAUGUUUAUUAUUCAUGCUAGAAUUGUAUUAACCGGAAACAUAAUACAUGUGUGAAUACAUAGACAAACAUAGUGUCACUAGUAUGCCUCUACUUGACUAGCUCGUUAAUCAAAGAUGGUUAAGUUUCCUAACCAUAGACAUGAGUUGUCAUUUGAUUAAAGGGAUCACAUCAUUAGGAGAAUGAUGUGAUUGACUUGACCCAUUCCGUUAGCUUAGCACUUGAUCGUUUAGUAUGUUGUUAUUGCUUUCUUCAUGACUUAUACAUGUUCCUAUGACUAUGAGAUUAUGCAACUCCCGUUUACCGAAGGAACACUUUGUGUGCUACCAAAUGUCACAACGUAACUGGGUGAUUAUAAAGGUGCUCUACAGGUGUCUCCGAAGGUACUUGUUGGGUUGGCGUAUUUCGAGAUUAGGAUUUGUCACUCCGAUUGUCGGAGAGGUAUCUCUGGGCCCACUCGGUAAUGCACAUCACUAUAAGCCUUGCAAGCAUUGUAACUAAUGAGUUAGUUACGGGAUGAUGUAUUACGGGACGAGUAAAGAGACUUGCCAGUAACGAGAUUGAACUAGGUAUUGAGAUACCGACGAUCGAAUCUCGAGCAAGUAACAUACCGAUGACAAACGGAACAAACGUAUGUUGUUAUGCGGUUUGACCGAUAAAGAUCUUCGUAGAAUAUGUGGGAGCCAAUAUGAGCAUCCAGGUUCCGCUAUUGGUUAUUGGCGGGAGACGUGUCUUGGUCAUGUCUACAUAGUUCUCGAACCCGUAGGGUCCGCACGCUUAAAGUUUCGAUGACGAUUGUAUUAUGAGUUUAUGUGAUUUGAUGUACCGAAGGUAGUUCGGAGUCCGGGAUGAGAUCGGGGACAUGACGAGGAGUCUCGAAAUGGUCGAGACAUAAAGAUCGAUAUAUUGGACGACUAUAUUCGGAGAUCGGAAAGGUUCCGAGUGAUUCGGGUAUUUUCGGAGUACCGGGCGGUUACGGGAAUUCACCGAGAGAAGUAUUGGGCCUUAUUGGGCCAUACGGGAAUAGAGGAGAGAGGCCAAACGGAAGGAGGCGCCCCCCCUCUGGUCCGAAUUGGACAAGGGGUGCAGCCCCUUUUUCCUUCUCCCUCUCCCCCUCUUUCCUUCUCUCCUACUCCGGAAAGGAAAGGGGAAUCCUACUAGGACUUGGGAGUCCUAGUAGGACUCCCCACACUUGGCGCGCCCCCUCUAGGGCCGGCCUCUCCCUCCCUCCUUUAUAUACGGGGGCAGGGGGCACCUCUAGACACAACAAUUGAUCUCUUGAUCUCUUAGCCGUGUGCGGUGCCCCCCUCCACCAUAUUCUACCUCGGUCAUAUCGUAGCGGUGCUUAGGCGAAGCCCUGUGUCGGUAGCAUCAUCAUCACCGUCACCACGUCGUCGUGCUGACGGAACUCUCCCGUCAAGCUCUGCUGGAUCGGAGUUCGCGGGACGUCAUCGAGCUGAACGUGUGCUGAACUCGGAGGUGCCGUACGUUCGGUACUUGGAUCGGUCGGAUCGUGAAGACGUACGACUACAUCAACCGCGUUGUGCUAACGCUUCCGCUUUCGAUCUACAAGGGUACGAGGACAACACUCUCCCCUCUCGGUGCUAUGCAUCACCAUGAUCCUGUGUGUGCGUAGGAAAUUUUUUGAAAUUACUAUGUUCCCCAACAAACACUUAGAGAAGCACUGGCCCGAGGGUGUUAAGAUAAAGAUGACCCUCGGGUUGGCCGACCCAAGGGAAGGGUAAUAGGUUGUUAGGAAAAAGUAAAACCAAGGUUGGGCCUUGCUGGAGGAGUUUUAUUCAAAGCAAACUGUCAAGGGGUUCCCAUAACACCCAACCGCGUAAGGAACGCAAAAUCAAGGAACAUAACACUGGUAUGACGGAAACUAGGGCGGCAAGAGUGGAACAAAACACCAGGCAUAAGGCCGAGCCUUCCACCCUUACCAAGUGUAUAGAUGCAUUAAUUAAAUAUAAGAGAUAUUGUGAUAUCCCAACGAAGUUCAUGAUAUCCAUGUUCCAACAUGGAACAACCUGCAACUGCACCUGCAACUAGCAAUGCUAUAAGAGGGGCUGAGCAAACCGGUAACAUAGCCAAACAACGGUUUGCUAGGAAGGGUGAAAAGGUUAGAGGUUUCAUGGCAAUUUGGGAGGCUUGAUAACAAGUGGUAGGUAACGCGACAUAGCGAUAGCAUCAACACAACUAGCAUAGCAAUGAUAGUAGUGAGAUCAAAGGUGACGGUCAAUUUGCCUGGAAUCCCGCUAGGAAGAAGAACGAGUCCAUGAAGAAGAUGAAGCCACAUAUACGAACCAAGCGUAGACGAACGAAUCCUCACGAUCGCAACGAAACAGGAACUAACGGGAAGGAGCACAACCGGAAAGAAGCAAACAACAUGGUAAACACACAACACAUAAACAUGACAUGAUGCUCAACCAAGUAUGAUGUAUGACAAGUCUAUUUGAUGCUACUCAUGGCAAGAGACGAUGCAUCCAAGAGCAACACAACAAGGCAAGUUUAAAUGAGGCCGGAAACAACAUACAACAAUUCAUGUAAGUCCUCAUAUGCAAAUUUCGAAAUUGGUCAAGAUCUGAUUACAACACAAUGUUGAAGUUGUUAAACAUCAAGUUAAAAUGCACCAAGAUGAUCUACACUGUUUUGUAGUCAAGUUACAUAUAAAGUUUGUUUAAUUCGGAGCUACGGCCUAGAAGAUAUGAGCAAAACAAGUCAAACAUGGCAUUGAUGCAAAAAGCAUUCAAACAACAUCACAAACACUUCAAAAGAAGGAUGCAACAAGGUAACAUGAAACUACACACAAAAUUACGCAAGUUUCAUAUAGAGCAUGCUCAAAACGGAGCCACGGUGAAGCAUUACAAAACAUGAACACUGAGCUAUCUCUACAAACCACUAGAACAUGCUCAAAAAGACAUGGCAAUAUUGCAAAUAAUAACAUAUUCACAGACUUAGCAGAAAAUCACUGAGCAUGACAGAAAUAACAUCAGGUUGCAAUGUUUAGAGCUAUCAAACAAUAUGUUGCAGCAAGCUAUCAUGGCAAAAUUGAGCAUGGCAUGCUACUACUAAAAGCACUUAACAAAACAACCUUACUGAACUAAUUCCAAAGAUCAACAGAAAAGAUGGUAGCAUCCAUGAAAUCAUGGUAAGUGAUAUCACAUAUUCACACUUAAUAAUAGUACAUGGUAGGAACAACGAUAAGUAGGCAUGUUGGUGAGCUUUUACCACUAAUCACAAAGCAUUUCAUGGCAUAUGGAGUAACCAACAGUAAGAUGACACAAUUAUGAAACUAAGAAUAGCAAGAGCAAGUUCAUAGGAGGCAUGGAUCACUAGUAAAACGCAUGGAAGAACUAAACUUAAUGUUAACAGGCUGACAGCAACAUUAGGUAGCAAUUUUUUAGCAUGAUAACAACAAGCUAAAUCAAUCCAUAAUUGCAACCAAAGGAUUGGAUGGAUAGAGCAUAACAUGUAGAUCAAAAAAUCCUUAGUAAAUAUCUCUAGAUUAUGCAUAGAAUGACUUGUAGCAGUAGGUUUACAUAGCAUCAUGAUAUAACAGAUUCAGACUAGCAAAAACAGUAACAGCAAGUAGCCCAGUUCACAAGCUUGUUGCACUCACAACAAGGAACACAAAAAUACAUGAAUUGCACCACUGUAAAUAUGGCAUGAAUAUGCUCCUAAAAAUGUAUAUAUGAAGCACAUAGGAUGCACACACAAAAUGCAACAAAAAUAACAAAUCAGGAAGUUCUGUUGAACUACAGCAGACAACAUCAUAUAGCACUUUUGCAACGAUGAUAAGGGUAUCCAGAUUGACUCAAACGAGCAUGCCAUAAUGGAAUGAAAUGAAGAGCAUCUCACAGUGAACAUUUUGACAUAUUACAUGCACAGAACGGAGCAAUAUGCAAGGAGAUAGAGCCACCCAAACAUGCACACAUAUGAUGAUGUUUCAGGGACUUGGCAGAAUUUAUACCGACGAAAAACGGGACGACGUGAGGCAGGAUGGGGAGAUCCAGGGGGACGCGCGCCGUUUGGUUGGAGGAGGUGGUGGAUCUGGUCCACCUGACCAGAUCCAGGCGGCGGGGACCUCCGGCGAGGCUGACCGGAGACGGCGCGGCGGUGGAAGGCGAGCUCGCGCGCGGCGCGGCGAAGGCGGCNNNNNNNNNNNNNNNNNNNNNNNNNNNNNNNNNNNNNNNNNNNNNNNNNNNNNNNNNNNNNNNNNNNNNNNNNNNNNNNNNNNNNNNNNNNNNNNNNNNNNNNNNNNNNNNNNNNNNNNNNNNNNNNNNNNNNNNNNNNNNNNNNNNNNNNNNNNNNNNNNNNNNNNNNNNNNNNNNNNNNNNNNNNNNNNNNNNNNNNNNNNNNNNNNNNNNNNNNNNNNNNNNNNNNNNNNNNNNNNNNNNNNNNNNNNNNNNNNNNNNNNNNNNNNNNNNNNNNNNNNNNNNNNNNNNNNNNNNNNNNNNNNNNNNNNNNNNNNNNNNNNNNNNNNNNNNNNNNNNNNNNNNNNNNNNNNNNNNNNNNNNNNNNNNNNNNNNNNNNNNNNNNNNNNNNNNNNNNNNNNNNNNNNNNNNNNNNNNNNNNNNNNNNNNNNNNNNNNNNNNNNNNNNNNNNNNNNNNNNNNNNNNNNNNNNNNNNNNNNNNNNNNNNNNNNNNNNNNNNNNNNNNNNNNNNNNNNNNNNNNNNNNNNNNNNNNNNNNNNNNNNNNNNNNNNNNNNNNNNNNNNNNNNNNNNNNNNNNNNNNNNNNNNNNNNNNNNNNNNNNNNNNNNNNNNNNNNNNNCCCGCGGGCCAGCUGCGGGCUCGCGGGGCGCAGUGGAUCUGGCGACAUGGCGACCGCGGGUUGGGCGCGGGGGCGAUUGGACGUGUCCGGCCGCCGGGCGGACAUGUCCGGCGGCGCGGAGGGGGAGUAGCUAGGGUUCAUCCACGAAAAAAUGGAGGGGAGGUCCUAUUUAUAGCUAGAGGGAGUUAGGAGAGUCCAAAUGGGGAGCGGUUUUCGCCCACACGAUCAUGAUCCAGCGACCGAGAGCAUGGAGGGGGUUUGGAUGGGCUAAUGGGCUAUGGUGAAGAGGGGCUGGGCUGCAAAGAGAUAAGGGUUUCGAGGUUACACGGUUAACCGUUAGGGCGUCAAAGGACCUCUAAAUGGAACGAAAAUUGAGAGGCGGUCUACCUACUCUAAAACAACACCGGACGCCAAGUUUCAACCCAUUCCGAGAACAUUUUUUGGCCACUCAUAAAAUAAUAUUUUGGAGGUGCCGGGGGCGCGAGAGAGUGUCGGAACGCGAAACGGACAAUGGGGAAAAAGACCGGAUGCAAGUUUUGAAAAAUAUGAGGAUGCAAUGCAGAUGAUGACAUGGCAAAAUGCAACACACAAGCAAAUGACAUGGCAACGACGGUGAAUAACUGGAAGACACAUGGCGCAUCAGAUUCGGGGCGUUACAACUCUCCUCUACUAACAAGAGAUCUCGUCCCGAGAUCUUAGGACCGAGACGGAAGGAAAAGAGAAUGGGGUGAAGUAAGAACAAAAGAGAGAAGAUGAACCAAGUCGAGAGCACUCAGGUAGAAAAGAGGAAUGACGAUUAUGACGAGAGCCAAAAGCUCGAGGAACAAGAUAGACUCUGAAACCGCUCCGGUUAGAACAAGAUAGAAAAGGAAUAAUAACGAAGGAAUUUAGGCAGCACUCCGGCUGAACAUGUAAAGAAUAGAACAUGAACUUGAGAAGAUGGAAUGAUACUUGACGAGAGGAACAACACAGUGCCUCCGGAAGACUUGAAAGAGUGGAAUGAGAAGAACGGGGAAGAAGAUGACAACUUCUACCACGAAUGAAAUUGAAAGCAACCUUAGAAGGAAGGAUUGAACGGAGUUGUUGAGAAAAUUAACAACGAAAACAAUAAGCUUGUUGUGGACUUAUGGAUAACAUCUCAAAAAUUAUGAGGUGAUAACCGACCAUAAUCGGAAAAGAUUGAAUAGAUGAGAAGAACGAAGAAAUGCAAAACUCCACUUUAAAAGAAUACAGAGAAUUAAUUGCACCUCGGGAAGCAAGAAGAAGAAGAUACUUGCGCUCCUCCAGCAAGAAUCUUGAUGAACACUUGAAGAAAGAAUUAAAUCAUGAAGAACCACCAUGAAGAACUCCGGUAGCAAAAGGAUUAUGAGAUAGACUGAAGGAUGAAUAGAAUAUGAUUUAAGCCUUGCGAUGAUUUAGAUGGAGCUUCGUGUCGAGACAAGCGAGAAGCUUGGAACUCCGGAAGGGAAAAGAUGAACAACUUAUAACCAAGAGAUUAUUCAUCAAGAACAAUCUCCGAAAAGAAGAGAUAAAUCAACUUGAUGAAAGAAGAAUAAGAAUUAUGUUAUGCUCAUCCUCCACCAAUUAAAUUGAUGAGAAGCAAUGGAAUGCAUACAACUUAUUCACAUUGGGAAAAGAUUAAGGGGACAUAUAGCACAACACUUGGGGAGGUCUUGAAGAACCACCGGUAGGAUUGGAAAGAAACGAAUGAAUUGAUAUGAUAACCACAGAAAAGAAAUCUUGAACGAACCACCGUAAGAAUUCAAAAUUGAAUGACGAAGGAGAAUGAAUCACCGGGAAGAAUUGAAACGGAUGAUGAAACAGAAUGGCUCUCCUGGAAACAUUAAAAGGCGCACGAAUAUACUUGAAGGAAUUCUUACACAAGAGAAUGAAGAGAUCAUGAGCUGACUAGAGGAUAUUUGAAUGAUGCACCGGAAGACUAUUGGGACGAACGAAGGGGCACGGAUAUAGAAUAAUUGGAGAACGAAUCUGAAAACUUAGAAUGAAGAAAUCUUCUGAAAUGAUGGCCUCCGGAUGAUCGAGAGAGAAAGCAACUCCUGAAAUACUCCGGAUGGACGAAAAGAAUUGCACGACUGGAAACAAUUUGAGGAUAGCAACAAGCUAGCACCACGAAUCUCCGUGAGAACGGACAAGAUUUAGAGGAAAAACUCUUCUUCGGUCUUCACAUAAUGAGAAUGACGACGAGAAACACCUUGCAGAAUUUGUUGAAACACUCCGGAAGAAUGAAAAGAGGACAGAUUGACCCGAACAUGAAAGAAUUUGAAAACGAUCUUGGAGAAGGCAUCUGAGUCAUGGAAUCCAUACUUACGUCAAACUUCGAAAGAAAGGAUUUGAGAAAAGCUCCGGGAAAAUUAGAAGAGUCAGGUAAGAUCCUGGAAAAAGACCUGUGGGUUAGGGCCCGCUGAAAAGAAACAUCGUUGGGAGGGAUUGAAGAAUAGAAAUGAUGCACUGGAAUAGCUGAAAGACUCGAAUGAGGUGAUAACCUCGAAUUAAUUGAAUGCAGACAUGAAUCUUCUGAGAUGUCUUCAUCACUCCAGAACGAUUAAAUGACGAGAGGUGAACGAGCAACGGGAAACAUUUGAGCUAAGGGAAAGAAUAUAAUCACUACCGAAAAUUGGAAUUGAAUCCACCGUAAAGAAAACGAGACGAAUAAUGAUGAACUUGACGAGACUUCACCGGUUGAGACAAUUGAGGAAAGAUUGAAGAGGCUCCGCACGAAUGAAAUUGAUGCUCGANNNNNNNNNNNNNNNNNNNNNNNNNNNNNNNNNNNNNNNNNNNNNNNNNNNNNNNNNNNNNNNNNNNNNNNNNNNNNNNNNNNNNNNNNNNNNNNNNNNNNNNNNNNNNNNNNNNNNNNNNNNNNNNNNNNNNNNNNNNNNNNNNNNNNNNNNNNNNNNNNNNNNNNNNNNNNNNNNNNNNNNNNNNNNNNNNNNNNNNNNNNNNNNNNNNNNNNNNNNNNNNNNNNNNNNNNNNNNNNNNNNNNNNNNNNNNNNNNGACUCCGGGAAGAAAAACGGGUGGGAGGGCGGGUAAAACAGAGGCAACUUGGAACGGGGAACCGACGAAUAACUUGAAGAGAAAACACUGGUUGAAAUAAUUGAGGAAAGAAUGCAAAGGCUUUGCACGAGUAGGGUGGAUACUCGAUUACGAACUCCGGCUCCGAGAAGAAGAAGGGUGGGCGGGUGGGAAAAGAAAGACAACUUCACACGGGGAACAACGUCGUUGAGAAAGAACUGAGGGCUGAUCUUGCAAAAGAUGAAGGGGAUCGCAUCAACUUGACGAGAAAAGCACCGUAUGAAAAGAGCUGGCAUCGCAACGAACGAGAACUAACCGCGAGAUCCUAAAAAAAAUUUGAAGGGGAAGAGGAGUAAGUCGAAACACCUACGUUAAGAUUCCUCACCAGAGCGACGAAGGGGCAGAGGAGUAAAAAGAAGUCCUACUCUCCGAUAUAACUAGACUCCAAAAAGUUUUCUUCUAGACUCGACAGCGGCCAAGCUACACGAUCAAACAAGGGGGGCUCCUAAGGUCGGUCGAGGCUCUGAUACCAACUUGCCACGCCCAAUAUGCGAUACUAUCCUAAAGAGACUCGAAGGUCCCACCAAGGAUAGAACCGCAUAUUGACACGCUUUUGCAAGGUGGAUAUCAUUACAUCAAACCAUUACAUAAAUAGUUGGGGAUACAUACAAAGGCACAAACGCCCCAAGAAUACAUCAACAUCAUUCAAGAGAACAACAUCCGCCUACGGGUGAAACACAAACAGGAACUCAAACAAUAUCCACUCUGCUAGCCCAGGCUGCCGACCCGGAACCUAACCCAAGAUCGACGAAGAAGAAGAACUCCAACACAAGUAAACAUCGCUCUCGCGUCAUGAUCAUCGCAUAACCUGUACCUGCAACUGUUGUUGUAGUAAUCUGUGAGCCACGAGGACUCAGCAAUCCCAUUACCAUGGGUAUCAAGACUAGCAAAGCUUAAUGGGUAAGGAAGGGGUAAAGUGGUGAGGUUGCAGCAGCGACUAAGCAUGUAUGGUGGCUAUCUUAUGAAUACAAGAGUAAGAUGAGAAGCUACGCAAACGGUCGCAAACUAGAAAUGAUCAAGAAGUGAUCCUGUACUACUACUUAUGUCAAACAUAACCCAAAAACCGUGUUCUCCUCUCGAACAAUCCCGAAAAGAGACAAUCACGGUUACGCACGCGGUUGGUGUAUUUUAGAAGAGUUUACUUCAAGUUUACUACAACCGGAUAUUAACAAAUUCCCAUCUGCCACAUAACCGUGGGCACGGCUCUCGAAAGUUUAUACCCUGCAGGGGUGUCCCAACUUAGCCCAUCACAAGCUCUCACGGUCAACGAAGGAUAUUCCUUCUCCCGGGAAGACCCAAUCAGUCUCGGAAUCCCGGUUACAAGACAUUUCGACAAUGGUAAAACAAGACCAGCAAAGCCACCCGAUGUGUCGACAAUCCCGAUAGGAGUCGCACGUAUCUCGUUCUCAGGACACACCGGAUAGGUCAAGCUACGAGUAAAACCAGCCCUCAAGUUGCCCCGAGGUGGCCCCGCAGGCUGCCCGGUUCGGACCAACACUUAGAGAAGCAUUGGCCCAGGGGGGUUAAAAUAAAGAUGACCCUCGGGUUGGCCGACCCAAGGGAAGGGUAAUAGGUUGUUAGGCAAAAGUAAAACCAAGGUUGGGCCUUGCUGGAGGAGUUUUAUUCAAAGCAAACUGUCAAGGGGUUCCCAUAACACCCAACCGCGUAAGGAACGCAAAAUCAAGGAACAUAACACCGGUAUGACGGAAACUAGGGCGGCAAGAGUGGAACAAAACACCAGGCAUAAGGCCGAGCCUUCCACCCUUACCAAGUGUAUAGAUGCAUUAAUUAAAUAUAAGAGAUAUUGUGAUAUCCCAACAAAGUUCAUGAUAUCCAUGUUCCAACAUGGAACAACCUGCAACUGCACCUGCAACUAGCAACGCUAUAAGAGGGGCUGAGCAAACCGGUAACAUAGCCAAACAACGGUUUGCUAGGAAGGGUGAAAAGGUUAGAGGUUUCAUGGCAAUUUGGGAGGCUUGAUAACAAGUGGUAGGUAACGCGACAUAGCGAUAGCAUCAACACAACUAGCAUAGCAAUGAUAGUAGUGAGAUCAAAGGUGACGGUCAAUUUGCCUGGAAUCCCGCUAGGAAGAAGAACGAGUCCAUGAAGAAGAUGAAGCCACAUAUACGAACCAAGCGUAGACGAACGAAUCCUCACGAUCGCAACGAAACAGGAACUAACGGGAAGGAGCACAACCGGAAAGAAGCAAACAACAUGGUAAACACACAACACAUAAACAUGACAUGAUGCUCAACCAAGUAUGAUGUAUGACAAGUCUAUUUGAUGCUACUCAUGGCAAGAGACGAUGCAUCCAAGAGCAACACAACAAGGCAAGUUUAAAUGUGGCCGGAAACAACAUACAACCAUUCCGGUAAGUCCUCAUAUGCAAAUUUCGAAAUUGGUCAAGAUCUGAUUACAACACAAUGUUGAAGUUGUUAAACAUCAAGUUAAAAUGCACCAAUAUGAUCUACACUGUUUUGUAGUCAAGUUACAUAUAAAGUUUGUUUAAUUCGGAGCUAUGGCCUAGAAGAUAUGAUCAAAACAAGUUAAACAUGGCAUUGAUGCAAAAAGCAUUCAAACAACAUCACAAACACUUCAAAACAAGGAUGCAACAAGGUAACAUUAAACUACACACAAAAUUAUGCAAGUUCCAUAUAGAGCAUGCCCAAAACGGAGGCACGGUUCAACACACACACAUGAAACAAGUUUGAAGGACAAACUGUCCAAAACAGCAACUAGGCAUCUUGCAAGCAUCAAAACAGCAUGCUACAGCACCUCAGCAUGAAAAUAAAAGGCAUGGACAUGAUGUACAUGUGAAGCAUUACAAAACAUUAACACUGAGCUAUCUCUACAAACCACAAUAACAUCCUCAAAAGGACACGGCAAUAUUGCAAAUAAUAACAGAUUCACAGACAGCAGAAAAAUCACUGAGCAUAACAGAAAUAACAUCAGGUUGCAAUGUUUAGAGCUAUCAAAAAACAUGUUACAGCAAGCUAUCAUGGCAAAAUGGAGCAUGGCAUGCUAGUACUAGAAGCACUUAACAAAACCCCCUUACCGAACUAAUUCGAAAGAUCGAAAGAAAAGAUGGUAGCAUCCAUGCAAACAUGGUAAGUGAUAUCACAGAUUCAGACUGAAAAUAACAGUACAUGGCAGGAACAAUGAUAAGUACGCAUGUUGGUGAGCUUUUACCACUAAACAAAAAGCAUUUCAUGGUAUAUGAAGUAAACCAACAGUAAGAUGACACAAUUAUGAAACUAAGCAUGCCAAGAUCAAGUUCAUAGGGUGCAUGGAUCACUAGCAAAACACAUGGAAAAACUGAACUUAAUGUUAACAGGCUGACAGCAACAUUAUGUAGCAAGUUUGGAGCAUGAUAACAACAAGCUAAAGCAAUCCAUAAUUGCAACAAAGGGUAAGCAUGGAUAGAUCAUAAUAUGUAGAGCAAAAAAUCCUUAGUGAAUAUCUCCAGAUUAUGCAUAGAAUGACUUAUAGCAGCAGGUUUACAUAGCAUCAUGAUAUAACAGAUUCAGACUAGCAAAAACAGUAACAGCAAGUAGCCCAGUUCACAAGCUUGUUACACUCACCACAAGGCACACAAAAAUACAUCGAUUGCACCACUGUAAAGAUGGCAUGAAUAUGCUCCUAAAAGAUGUAGACAUCAAGCACAUAGGAUGCACACAUAAAAUGCAACAAAAAUGACAAAUCAGCAAGUUCUGUUGAACUACAGCAGACAACAUCAUGUAGCACUUUCGAAACGAUGAUAAGGGCAUCAAGAUGGACUCAAACAAGCAUGCCACAAUGGAAUGAAAUGAAGAGCAUCUCACAGUGAACAUUUUGACAUAUUACACACACAAAACGGAGCAAUGUGCAAGGAAAUAGAGUCACCCAAACAUGCACACAUAUGAUGAUUUUUCAGGGACAGCAGAAUUUAUACCGACAAAAAACGGGACGACGUGAGGCGGGAUGGGGAGAUCCAAGGGGAGGCGCGCCGUUUGGUUUGAGGAGGUGGUGGAUCUGGUCCACCUGACCAGAUCCAGGCGGCGGGGACCUCCGGCAAGGCUGACCGGAGACGGCGCGGCGGCGGAAGGCGAGCUCGCGCGCGGCACGGCGGAGGCGGCGGGCCGGCGNNNNNNNNNNNNNNNNNNNNNNNNNNNNNNNNNNNNNNNNNNNNNNNNNNNNNNNNNNNNNNNNNNNNNNNNNNNNNNNNNNNNNNNNNNNNNNNNNNNNNNNNNNNNNNNNNNNNNNNNNNNNNNNNNNNNNNNNNNNNNNNNNNNNNNNNNNNNNNNNNNNNNNNNNNNNNNNNNNNNNNNNNNNNNNNNNNNNNNNNNNNNNNNNNNNNNNNNNNNNNNNNNNNNNNNNNNNNNNNNNNNNNNNNNNNNNNNNNNNNNNNNNNNNNNNNNNNNNNNNNNNNNNNNNNNNNNNNNNNNNNNNNNNNNNNNNNNNNNNNNNNNNNNNNNNNNNNNNNNNNNNNNNNNNNNNNNNNNNNNNNNNNNNNNNNNNNNNNNNNNNNNNNNNNNNNUCGAAGGGCGGCGCGGGCGCGGACCAGCGGGCGGCGGCGGUCGGGCCCCGCGGGCCGGUUGCGGGCUCGCGGGCCGCGGUAGGGCGCGGUGGAUCUGGCAACGUGGCGGCCGCGGGUUGGGUGUCGUGGUUCUAAGUCUGACAGUAGAAUGGGGGUAGGGAUGUAAAGGCAAGGUCCUAGCUAGGGAGAAGCUGUACGCACGAGUUUUACGAGUUCAGGUCCUUCUCGGAGGAAGUAACAGCCCUACGUCUUGGAGCCCGGAGGUGGUCGACUGGAUUAUAUGCGUGUGUGUUACAAGGGGUGCGAACCCUUGUGCCAGUGGAGGGGGUGGCUUAUAUAGAGUGCGCCAGGACCCCAGCCAGUCCACAUUACAAGGAGUUCAAUGUUCAUAAAGUAGGAGCGUUACAGGUAACGUCUGCAGUAAAGUAAUAUAAAUGACUAUUAAGUCUAAGAGUAAAUGCCCGACCGUUGCUGCGAGGAGUGGCUUUAGGUCUUCUGCACGUCGAGUGGUUUAGUGGUCGAGUGACAUAAACAAGGGGGGUCUCUGAGUGAAUGGUAGGUCGAGUGGAUUGCACUCGACACAUUUGUUGGGUCCCCUCUAUUUACUCCUGAACCUCUUUGCUUCUAGGACAAGGACCUUAGGUAGGAGGUAUAGGUCAGGCCUAUUACCCUACCCCAGGUCUAUGUCCUCAUCAUUAGCCCCCGAAUGGAUUGAGGUCCGAGUGAAAAGAAGGUUGAAGUUGACCUUGCUCUGGCUCUUGCUUUCUCCUCCAAAUGGAUGCCAGUUGUUGGGACUUCGGCUUCGUUUCAGUCGCCUUGAUCGAUUCAGAAAUGAUCGACUGGUUUUAUAACGUCAUCUGUCGAGUGUUAUCUUUGACAUAGAAUCUUUGGCGUGAUCGGUUGUAGAGGAUCCCGGAUUUCGCGGGAUUCGAAAUUUUGGUGGGAGCACGCCGUGGUAAGCGGAGUAGAUAAGCAUGACGUUUCGAUUUCCGCGCCACCUUUUUCGCCACGUAUCCCGUGUGCGACUGUUAAGGGAUUUGAUAGGAUCGCCCGGACCCACGCGUCAGCCACUCGGAAGUAGGCCCUUAAAAGCGGCGAGGCCGAGGCGUCCACACUGUGCGUGCCCAUUCUCCCUCUUCUUCCUCUUGCUCCUUUUCCUCGUUCGGCUUCUCCACCCUCGACGCCGCCGCUCUGCCGCCAUGGGGAAGGAGAAAACGGCGGCGCUGAAACGCGCGAAGAAGGCGACGGGGGCGGCAAAAAGCAAGAAGACGAAUCGGGGAUCUUCAUCGCGCUCGGGGCUGCCGUCGGGUUGGAUCCAGGGAGAUUGGAUCCGAUCUUCACUUCAGUAGGAAGACUUGGACGAUAUGGCCGAGCUAGGGCUGAUCGUCCACGAGUCUGCGCGGCUGCUGGAGGGGGAAACGGAGCCACAGCCGCGACCGGGUGAGUGUGUUCUGCUCGCUACUCAUGUCGACCGCGGCUUCUCGCUUCCUCCGCACCCCUUCUUUCGAGGUUUCUUGAUUUUUUAGGGGCUCAACUCCAUCACUUCACUCCCAACACCAUCACAUAUCUUGCCGCAUUCGUUUCCAUGUGCGAGAAUUUCCUGGGGUGUCGACCGCACUGGGGUCUUUUCAAGCACAUUUUCACUAUCUGCUCCCAAACAGUGAAGAAAGCGAACUUGAACAACGAGAAAACCCAUGUUAUCCAGAUGUGUGGGGGUCUGGGUAUUCAGAAGAGGAAGAGGAUUUCUUUCCCUCCGAUGACUCUUCCUGAGUCCGUCAGGGGCUGGCAGUCGACCUGGUUCUAUUGCCAGGAUAUUGCGACCCCAGGUCACUCGACUAGACUUCCCCCUUUCUCUUUUGAUCGUGUUCAGACUCCAUCUUCGUUGAAAGUGACCGCCGCGGAGAAGGCGGAGACGGGCAUGUUGGUCGAGAGGGUAGUUCAAUUGAUCAACCAAGGCGUCACCGGCAUGGAUCUACUAGAGGUGUUCCUCAGUCGGCGCAUUCAACCACUCCAUGUGGAUGUACUCCGGGGCUGGUGAUACCGCUCGGGUUCAUCCGGAGGAGGUGACGGCCAAAGCAGUGGCCGAGUGGCUGAGCGGCAUCACCGGGAACAAGGACAACCCCAGGGACGCUAGGAGAGUCAAACCUUUCAGCGACAGCAACCAGCCAGACAAGGUUUGGCCAUUACAACUGGUUGAAUUUGGAUGUGUUUUCUGACUAUUUGUUGAUCCGACUGAUUUCCACUCGGCUCCUUGUUUUGUAGAUUUAUACAGAGAUGUACUCAAUGCCCAAUGGCGAACAAGCUCUGGAGCAGUACCAUGAAGGCGAGGACAGCGCGGAGGAGAGCGGCGAGUGGGAGUCACCAGCCGACGGUGAUGAAGAUGAGAACGAUGAGUCGGACGACGAGGUGGUAGCCGACUCACCACCUCAUUCUGAACGUUGAUCCAAGCAGCACCAUGAUCCCGCGGGCAGGCGCGGCAAGGCUGUGGCCUCGAGCGCUCCAUCUCAAAAGCGCGCCCGGUCUUCGACUCCAGAAUUGGCUGAGAAGGUCACCAAGCAGCCCAAGAUCAAUCCUUCGAAGGCUCCGAAGACCUUGCGUAGGAUCAAGAUGGACGUUCCUGUUGCUUCUGGGUAAAUGUUCUCUCCGUAUUUUCUUGUUCUGACCGAUUCUCUUGUACUGACGGAGUGGAUGAUGAAACUUUACAGCCCGGCCUCGGCUGCGACUGAUAUGGAUAUCGACAAGACCCCAGACAAUGAGGAAACCGACGACGCAGCUACCUCCAAAGCCAGUAAGUCUGCCCGACUCGAGUUUGCUUGGACGACUGGAUUGUUUGUCAGCUAUCUCCUUGACUUUAUUUGUUUGUUGCAGCGCCACGGGACGUUGUUGUGCUCCCGGACGAUGAAGAAGAAGUACCGCUGAGGGGAAGGAGGAGGAGGGACAAGGAACUAAGCGGGAAAGCGCCUGAGAUGGCAGUCGAACGAUGGUCAGAUCCGGCACGUACCAACGUCACUUUCGCUAUCCCGCUGUCGACUGAUUGCCCAUCAGGAUCAGCUGCUCAGACUUCUGCUGUACCAAUACAACCCCACGCAUCAGACCCAGCGGUUGCUCCGGCUGCUCUGCCAUCAUCGCUUUUCACUGCGUAUCAAACCCCAGACGACCCACUGUCUGCCGCCAAGGAAGCUCUUCUUCAGUUGAACCUUGUGAUGGGGCAGAUGAAAGUGGUGCAUGAGGCCAGUCAAGUGGCCUUCAACGCUGGAGCUGCUUUGCAGACCAAUGUCCAGGUUAGUUGAUUUCCGAUUGAUCAUAUUUCUCGUCCGAUCACCCACUGGGGUGUGACUGUUUUGAAUUUGCACGAGUCAAUUUCAGUCGUCUUGGAUUGAAUCUUUGAACUAGUGGGGGCACUCUUAGUGCACCCACUGGGUGUAGUCCCCGAGACCAUAGUUGACUGCGGGCAGUCGACUGUGGUCUGAGAAUCUGAAUUUUGUCACUCGGUCUGGACUGGCCAGGUCGAAUGACACUAGAACCAGUGGGGGCACGCUAAGUGCACCCACUGGGUGUAGUCCCCGAGACCGUGGUUGACUGCGGGCAGUCGACUAUGGUCUGAGAACUGCUUUUUUUUUACUCUCGCACUGGGCAGACCAUGUCGAGUGUUUAUUCAAACCAGUGGGGGCACGCCAAGUGCACCCACUGGGUGUAGUCCCCGAGACUGCCGUUGAAUGUUUGAUUCGGCGGUAGUCUUAGAGUAGCUAUCACUGUGAUGUCUUUUAAUCCUGGUCAACUGAUAUGGCUUAAACUGCAGAAAUCUUGUGAUCUUGGGGCUCAGCUUUCCGCAAUGAACAAGUAGCAAAUCAGCCUCAACCUUGAUCUGGAAUUGGCCCAGAAGAAUCUCAAGACUGCUCGUGAUGAAGUAGCUUCCAUGGGAGGUAACCAAUCGUCAACUGUCUUUCUCACUGCCGGCCCUUUUCCUUUCCAUUUUUUGAACCGAGCGACUCCACUCGAGCAGAUGUAUGUAGUGAAAACCGUCAACUCCAAGCCCGUCUGAAGAAUGUUAUUUCUUUAGAGAAAAUGAAGCAGGCUUUGGAGAAGAAGGAUCUGGAUCUUGCUGCUGCACAGAAGGAAGCGCGAGAGAAAACAGCGCUUGCUGACAAGAAGCUUGCUUCAGUCGGCAAGUUAGAAGAGGAGAACUCCAAACUAAAGGCCGUUGUCUCUGACGCCAAUCGGGAGGUCGAGCGACUGAAGAAAGACAAGGACAAGUUGACUGACGAGCUUGGGAGCCUCAAGGCCAAGAAGGGCGAGUUGGAGUCUUAUCUGGGCCAGCUUGCUGCAAAGCUGGUCCUAAAACUUGAAGGUACUGAUGAUUGACUGACUUAUUACGGUCGAUUGUCCAGCUUGAUUAUAUCGUCGACUCAUCAUUUACUCGACUGUGCAGAGCUUUGCCAAGACUUUGAAGCGGAAACUGGGCGGGUCGAGACGGGUCUCGAUCCCGUAAAUUGUCCAGUCAAGGAUGAUGUUGCGAUGAAUGUGCUGCGGUUGGAAUCUCGCAUGGACAGCGCGGUUGCUUAUCUUGCUCGCCUGAAGGCAGCGAUGACUCGGGUUGAUGCUGAACUCUGGCCUCAGGCGGAACUGUCUCAAGAUCUCGAGUCUCUGAUGGCUCGACUGAAUCAAAUACCUGACCGAGUGCAAGAGUGGAAGAAGUCAUCUGCUCGUUGUGGCGCUGAUGUCGCGUUGUCCUUGGUCCGAGUGCACUGCAAAGACGUCAAAGAAGACAAGAUGGCGGAGCUCAAGGUUGCUAACACAAAGAAGCACACCUUCCAAUCCUUCAUGGACACUUUUCUUGACGCUGCCACUCGCAUUGCAGACAGCAUAGACCUUGGCAGUUUCUGCGACCCAGCCAGUCCUUCUCCUGACGCGUGACCGAAAAACAUUAUGCUCCACCUUUAUUUGCCUCGGAAUGCCGAGUGAUUGUGUAAUCGUUAAACUUCUUCGGGCUUGGUGCUCGAAUACUUUUGAUCCGUCGUCCGGAACUUUAGGAUUUAUCUGAACUUGGUUUAUCUCUGAAUAUGCUUGUGUUUGCCUCCGAGUGGAUUUUGCUCUUCAAUUGGAAUAAUCUUUGUACUUGAGAUGCAGCUAUUGUACUUAUGGCGCAGCUUCGAAGGAGAAGGUCGCAGUCAACCUGCACCUCGUCGUCCUUACGGAUAGGGAAGGAGCACACGUUGUUCUUGUGGCGCUGCUCCGAAGGAGAAGGUUGCAGUCGACCUGCGCCUCGUCGUCCUUGCGGAUAGGGAUGGAGCGCACAUUGUACUUGUGGCGCAGCUCCGAAGGAGAAGGUUGCAGUCGACCUGCACCUCGUCGUCCUUGCGGAUAGGGAUGGAGCGCACAUUGUACUUGUGACGCAGCUCCGAAGGAGAAGGUUGCAGUCGACCUGUGCCUCGUCGUCCUUGCGGAUAGGGAUGGAGCGCACAUUGUACUUGUGGCGCAGAUCCAAAGGAGAAGGUUGCAGUCGACCUGCACCUCGUCGUCCUUGCAGACGGGGAUGGACUUCGAACUUAGGCGAGUACUAGACUGCAGCUAAGCCCCCGAGUGGGAGGGUUGCUCACCACUCGGUAGGAUUUUNNNNNNNNNNNNNNNNNNNNNNNNNNNNNNNNNNNNNNNNNNNNNNNNNNNNNNNNNNNNNNNNNNNNNNNNNNNNNNNNNNNNNNNNNNNNNNNNNNNNNNNNNNNNNNNNNNNNNNNNNNNNNNNNNNNNNNNNNNNNNNNNNNNNNNNNNNNNNNNNNNNNNNNNNNNNNNNNNNNNNNNNNNNNNNNNNNNNNNNNNNNNNNNNNNNNNNNNNNNNNNNNNNNNNNNNNNNNNNNNNNNNNNNNNNNNNNNNNNNNNNNNNNNNNNNNNNNNNNNNNNNNNNNNNNNNNNNNNNNNNNNNNNNNNNNNNNNNNNNNNNNNNNNNNNNNNNNNNNNNNNNNNNNNNNNNNNNNNNNNNNNNNNNNNNNNNNNNNNNNNNNNNNNNNNNNNNNNNNNNNNNNNNNNNNNNNNNNNNNNNNNNNNNNNNNGGCUUGCUCAUUACUCGGUGGGAUUUUUCAAACUUAGGCGAUUACUGGACUGCAGCUAAGCCCCCGAGUGAGAAGGUUGCUCAACACUCGGUAGGAUUUUUCAAACUUAGGCGAGUACUGGACUGCAGCUAAGCCCCCGAGUGGGAGGGUUGCUCACCACUCGGUAGGAUUUUUCAAACUUAGCCGAGUACUGGACUGCAGCUAAGCCCCCGAGUGGGAGGGUUGCUCACCACUCGGUAGGAUUUUUCAAACUUAGGCGAGUACUGGACUGCAGCUAAGCCCCCGAGUGAGAGGGUUGCUCACCACUCGGUGGGAUUUUUCAAACUUAGGCGAAACGGAUUCACGGCAAAGUCACCCACUGGGGGAUUUCAGACGCAAACAAAAGUAACAACAACCAUUUAGGAAGACUGUAAAGCUCUUGUCUUUGAUAAACAAACUACAAAGGUAUUUAUUAUUACAUCUCAUCCGAAUGAGUACUUAAGUAUAAAAGGGGCGGAGUAGCUCCGCGUUCCAAGCCCGUGGCUCGUCUUUCUGAUGCUCGACAUUGUAAAGAUGGUAUGCUCCAUUAUGGAGAACUCUGGUGACAAUGAAGGGACCUUCCCAAGUAGGGGCGAGCUUGUGUGGUUUCUGCUGAUCCACUCGAAGAACCAAGUCUCCCUCUUGAAAGGCUCGGCCCCUCACGUUUCUGGCGUGGAAUCGACGCAAGUCUUGCUGAUAAAUGGUCGACCGGAUUAAGGCCAUCUCUCUUUCCUCCUCUAGGAGAUCGGCUGCGUCCUGCCGGGCCUAUUCUGCUUCAUCUUCAGAGAAGAGCUCGACUCGGGGUGCAUUGUGAAGCAAGUCACUCGGUAGAACAACUUUAGCUCCAUAAACCAAGAAGAAUGGAGUUCGGCCAGUCGACCGAUUGGGAGUUGUCCUCAAUCCCCAAAGAACUGACUGAAGUUAAGUUCAUCAACCCGGGCGCCUGCUGCAUGCUUGAGAUCACGCAUCAGUCGGGGUUUCAGUCCUUUGAGAAUCAAGCCAUUUGCUCUUUCUGCUUGUCCAUUCGACUGGGGGUGGGCGACUGAAGCAUAGUCGACUCGUGUGCCUUGGGAAGCACAGAAAGCUCUGAACUCAUCAGAAUCGAAGUUCGACCCGUUGUCAGUGAUGAUGCUGUGCGGAACUCCAUAUCUGAAUGUCAAUUCUCUGAUGAAGCUGACGGCAGUACUGGCUUCAAGAUUCUUGAUAGGCUUGGCUUCAAUCCACUUGGUAAACUUGUCGACUGCUACAAGCACAUGAGUGAAGCCGCUCCUACCAGUCCUCAGGGGUCCGACCAUAUCCAAUCCCCAAACGGCAAAGGGCCAGACGAGUGGAAUAGUCUUUAGGGCUGACGUGGGCUUGUGGGACAUAUUGGAGUAAAACUGGCAGCCUUCACAUUUGUCGACUAUAUCUUUCGCCAUUUCGUUUGCUCGUGGCCAAUAAAAUCCGGCUCGGUAUGCUUUGGCCACAAUGGUCCGAGAGGACGCAUGGUGACCACAGGUCCCCGAGUGGAUGUCGUUGAGGAUCACUUGACCUUCUUCUGGUGUGAUGCAUUUCUGGCUGACUCCGGUUACACUUUCCCUAAACAGUUGUCCUUUUAUCACAGUAAAGGCUUUGGAUCGACGGACGAUCUGUCGAGCCUCUUCUUCAUCCUCUGGGAGUUCUUUCCUAAGGAUAUACGCAAUGUAUGGCACUGUCCAGUCGGGAGUGAUGACCAAAACCUCCAUGAUCAGGUCGACCACGGCUGGGACUUCGACUUCAGUCGGAUCUGUGGCGCUCUUAGGCUGCGGGGGCUCUUCAGUGAAAGGAUCUUCUUGAACUAAAGGUGUAUGAAUGUGUUCCAAAAACACGUUGCUGGGAAUGGCUUCCCUCUUGGAACCUAUCUUUGCUAGAUCAUCGGCUGCUUGAUUUUUCAGUCGGGGUAUAUGAUGGAGCUCUAACCCCUCAAAUUUCUUUUCCAACUUCCUCACCGCAUUGCAGUAACCAGUCAUAGCUGGGCUUCUGACGUCCCACUCCUUCAUCACUUGAUUGACUACCAAAUCUGAGUCUCCAUAGACCAUGAGGCGACGGACGCCGAGUGAGAUGGCCAUACGUAACCCAUAUAAGAGUGCUUCAUAUUCUGCUUCGUUAUUGGAGGAAUCAAAGUGAAUCUGGAGAACAUAUCUGAGCUUGUCUCCUCGGGGAGAUACCAGUACCACCCCAGCACCGGAACCAUUCAGCAUCUUGGAACCGUCAAAGAACAUGGUGCAGUGCUCCGAGUGGACUUGAGUUGGCAGUUGCUGUUCGAUCCACUCGGCGAGGAAAUCUGCUAUUGCUUGGGACUUGAUAGCUUUCUUUGCCUCAAACUUAAUAUCCAAGGGAGAAGUUCAAUUGCCCACUUUGCCACUCGACCAGUUGCAUCUUUGUUGUUCAGAAUCUCUGCUAAUGGAGCAUCGCUGACGACUAUAAUGGAGUGGUCAGAGAAAUAAUGUGCAACCUUCUUCGUGGUCAUAUAAAUCCCAUAAACAAGCUUCUGAUAAUGUGGAUAUCUUUGCUUUGAUGGAGUCAAAACUUCAGAAACAUAAUAUACUGGGCGCUGAACUUUAUAGGCUUUUCCUUCUUCUUCCCGCUCGACCGGAAGUACUGUACUGACGACUUGUCCAGUGGCUGCAAUGUAAAUCAGUAAAGGCUCUUUGCUGAUUGGGGCAGCAAGCACCGGCUGGGUGAAAAGCAGGGCUUUGAGCUCUGCAAAUGCUGUAUCAGCUUCAGGAGUCCACUCGAACUUAUCAGACUUCUUCAUCAGUCGGUAAAGAGGCAAUGCCUUUUCACCGAGGCGAGAAAUGAAUCGACUUAAGGCGGCCAAACAACCCGUAAGCUUCUGAACAUCGUGCACACGCACAGGGCGUUUCAUUUGGAGAAUGGCACCGACUUUCUCUGGGUUAGUGUCGAUCCCUCAUUCGGAAACGAGAAAACCGAGUAAUUUUCCGCCCGAAACUCCGAAUGUGCACUUUGAUGGAUUAAGCUUGAUAUCAUACCUUCUGAGGUUGGCAAAAGUUUCAGCUAGGUCAGCCAACAGGUCGGAACCUUUACGUGACUUGACCACAAUGUCAUCCAUGUAUGCUUCCACAUUCCGACUGAUUUGAGUGAGUAAACACUUCUGAAUCAUCCUCAUGAAUGUGGCUCCAACAUUCUUCAGGCCGAAUGGCAUGGUGACAUAACAGAAGCACCCAAAUGGAGUGAUGAAAGCUGUUUUUAUCUCAUCGGGUCCAUACAGUCGGAUAUGAUGAUACCCGGAAUAAGCGUCCAAAAAGGACAAGCGCUCACACCCUGCAGUCGAGUCGACUAUUUGAUCGAUGCUGGGUAGAGGAAAGUGAUCUUUCGGGCAGGCUCGAUUGAUAUGCUUGAAGUCAAUGCACAUGCGAAGUGAGUCGUCCUUCUUGGGGACCAUGACAACAUUGGCUAACCACUCGGAGUGGUAAAUCUCUCGGAUAAACUCAGCUGCUAGGAGCCGAGCUACUUCUUCACCGAUCGCUUUUCUCUUCUGUAUGGCGGACCGUCGAAGAUGUUCUUUGACUGGUUUCACUUUUGGGUUGACUCGCAAACGGUGCUCAGCCAGCCCCCUGGGAACACCCGGCAUGUCAGAAGGUUUCCAUGGAAAGAUGUCCCAGUUCUCACGGAGGAACUGGAUGAGUGCUUCUUCCUAUUUGGAGUCGAGCGUUGUCGAAAUGUGAGUCGGAGCAGCAUUGGGAUCAGUCGGGUGAAUAUGAAUCGGCUUCGUUUCACCAGACGGCUGAAAUGCUGAAUCCGUGGCAGGCUUCUUUGCUUGCAACAAAUCACUCGGAUCUGCAUUCUUUUGAUACUCCUGCAAUUCCACUACUGCCAUUUGUGCAUCGGCGAUCUUUGAGCCCUUCUGGAAGCACUCUUCUGCCUUCUUUCGAUUGCCAGUGAUAGUGAUCACUCCUUUGGGACCAGGCAUCUUCAAUUUGAGGUACACGUAGCAUGGUCGAGCCAUAAAACAUGCAUAAGCCGGCCUGCCCAGAAUAGCAUGAUAAGCACUCUGGAAAUCGACGACUUCAAACGUCAACUUUUCUUUGCGGUAAUUCUUGGAAUCACCGAAAACCACAUCAAGGGCGAUCUGGUCGAGUGAUUCAGCCUUCUUGCCAGGAAUAACUCCAUGGAAACUCAUAUUGCUUUCACUGAGUCUGGACAUCGGAAUGCCCAUUCCUUUCAGGGUCUUCGCAUACAAUAUAUUCAAGCCACUGCCACCACCCAUCAGAACCUUAGUCAACCGAGUGCCUUCGACGACUGGGUCGACCACCAACGCUUGCCUCCCAGGGGUGGCUAUGUGUGUUGGGUGAUCAGACUGGUCGAAUGUAAUGGCAGUCUGAGACCAUUUCAAAUAACUGGGCGUCGCUGGGGUGACCAUGUUCACUUCUCUGUUGAUGACUUUCAGUCGACUUUUGCUCUCAACAUCAGCAAAAAUCAUCAGAGUUGAAUUUAUGUGGGGGUAACCAUCAUCGUCUUCUUCCUUAUCCUCAACCUUGUCUGAUUCUUUCUCCUUCUCUUUGGGUUGUUUCUCUCGGAAUUGCUGGAUUAGGAGCCGACAUUGUCGAGUGGUAUGCUUCGAGUAAAUGAGAUUACCCUCCUCAUCUUUUUUGCUGUGAAUGUGGCACGGUAAAUCCAACACAUCAUUUCCAUCUUGAUCUUUUACCUUCUUGGGGUUCCAUGGCCCUUUGGGAUUCCCCUUGAACUUUCCUUGAGUCACGGCUAAGGCUUCUCCGGGAGCAGCUGGCUCGGCUUUGCGCUUCUGCUUCCGACUGGAGUUCCCUCCCCCGGUUUCGUGGGCGAUUGUUUUGUGCUUGCCACUACGGAGCUGGUCCUCCUCCUCACCAUUAGCAUACUUGGUGGAAAUUUCCAUCAUUCGACUCAGAGACAUAUCUCCGGUCCGACCGAACUUCAGAUUCAAUUCCCGAUACUUGACGCCUUCCUUGAAGGCACAAACUGCUUGGUGAUCAGACACAUUCUCCACCGUGUGGUGCAAUGUGAUCCGUCUCUGGAUAUAAUCUCUCAAAGUUUCAUUCGACUUCUGUACGCAAGACUGUAGCUCUGUCAGCCCUUCUGGUCGUUUGCAUGUACCUUCAAAUGUUCGGACAAACACCCGAGCGAGCUCUUCCCGGCUAUAAAUACUGCCAAGUGCUAGCUGAUUCAACCAUGCUCUGGCCGAGCCCUCUAACAUCAGAGGAAGGUGUUUCAUGGCCACUUCAUCAUUACCACCACCAAUCUGCACAGCCACUCGGUAGUCCUCAAGCCAAGUGUCAGGCUUGGACUCACCAGUGAACUUGCUGACUCCAGUCGCCAACCUGAAGUUGGGAGGAAUCACUGCUGCUCUGAUGGCUCUGCUGGAACACUCGGGACCUAUCGUGGAAUUGUCACGACAGAUGUCCUAAUGAAAGGACUUAGUCGUGAGGCCAACGCAUCUAUGUGAUAGCUUGAGAGGGGUUGAGUGGAAUCGAGAGACGCGACACAAGACAGGGAUUUAGACAGCUUCGGGCCCCGAGAAACAUCAUCCGGUAACAACCCUACAUGCUGUUUGAGGCUAGGUCUGAUUAUCAUCACGAGGGAGUCGCCGGUAAACUGGCUCUUUGUGUCUAGCCCUAGAGAUUGUUUCUUCUUCCUGCUUGUCCCCCUUUGGGGAGCCCUGCCCCUCCUUAUAUAUGUUGAAGGGGCGGGUUACAUGUGGAGUCCUAUUAGGAUUAGGACUAGUCUAUCUCUAAUACAAACCGGAUACAAGUCCAGGUCUUAACUCCUUGUAAAACAAAAAUUCCUCACGCCUUUCCUCUUAAACCGGCCACCAUAGUAUGAACCGGCCUUCAUGAACCGCCCGUUGGGCCACCGGGUCUUGUCGCUCCUCUGACCCGCCUGCCGGAUUACCAAUGAAUCGUAAACUGCCAGGUCCAAACGGGUCGCCAGUGAAUCGUUAAGUCUCAGCCGGGUCUCAAGUAAACCGCCAAGUCCGGCCGGGUUAUACUUCCGGCCGGUUUACGCCGCAGGGUAUAUCCCCGACAUUAGCCCCCAGUUUAAUUUGGAUUUAUCCAUGUUAAACUGAUCCUGUAAAACAAACACAAGAACAAAUUUGACAGAUUAUGCUCCGGGUUAAGGAUUCUUGUAAACCAGCAUCUGAUCAUCCUUAAGUCCUUGUCAUUUCCUCCUUCUAGAAAAUCCGGGUCAACAAGCCAGCUUCAUACUCAAUUUGCUGACAUUGGUUUCUCACAGAGAAAUAUUGUGAAGAGUAAUCCACUUGAGUCGGCUUCCAAAGCGCCGGUUUAAGAAAUAUGGGUCUUGAAAUACUUAUCUGAUAUUCAGCCGGUUUGAAGAUGUAAAACUUGCCGGUUUAAUAUUACCAAAAUUGUCGGUUUAUAAAUAUUGAUGGCACCGGGUCAUAAUUGUUGUCGACACCGGGCCAUGUAAUUGAUCUUCCUGAUUUGCUCAAAACUGAUAAACUAAAGACGUUCCUUCUUUAUAUGCAUAAUACCUGUAGCCCCCAAGUCUUAAGAGGAGAACAUAGUGAUAACUUAAGACUUGCUCCAAUAAGUGUUUUCAACCAUGAAGAAAUCCGGUUUGUUCAUCUCAAUCAUAUAAACUGAAUACUCCAUAUAUGUAGCCCCCAAGUGUCGGGUUGUCAUGCUUGCAGCAACCUGGGACUUGUAAUUGCUUAUAAAAACUUCAAUCAGUGUAGCCCCCAAGGGCCGGGUCAUUAUGCAAUAAUGAGCAGGAACUUUGUAAAUAUAAUCAUGUAGACUUGAGCAGUGAUGUGUAGCCCCCAAGGGCCGGCUCCUUACAAUGUGAUGAGUCGUGUCUUCAAUAAGACUAGUAAAAAUGACUUUGCAUUAGCCCCCAAGUGUCAUGGUGCAUGCUUGCAGUGACAUGAGACUUGCAUGUAAUCUCAAUUUGAAUAAUGUAGCCCCCAAGUGCCGGGUUGUAAGCCUGCAGCGACUCAGGACUAUUCCUUCCAUUGUAGAAUAAAUCAUAUCCUUUGAUAAAAUAAUAGCCAUUGCGCUAAAGCGACUUUGAAAACCUCAAUAAUACCGGUUAUUAAUAACCAUAAAAAUCCAGCCAUGUUGGCUAUUCAAGAUAAUAUAAUCCGGUAUGAAAACCUUAUUCAUUCAAUAUCAUAAUGAAAAUUCAGCCAAGUUUGGCUAUUUGAAUAAUAUAACCCAAUGAUUCAUAAGCGCAUGAUUCCAAUGGUGCAAUCCAAAUAUACACUGGCGAUUUAUAGUCCAAAGCCAGACCGAGUUAGCAAACACCGGAUAAUUUCUCAUCAUAUACUGGCGACUUAUCGUCUUAAAGCCAGGCCGGUUUAAUAAACACUGGAUAAUUUAUCAUCAUGCUUUAUUCAACCUGUUUCUGCAUACAACAAAUUUAAAGUGUCCUGGCGGUUUACCGCCGGACGGGUCAUAAUGCCCAACAUAUAACCCGGGUUUAUAACCAAGGCUGCACUUAAGAAUAAUCAAAUAUGAAAUAUAUCAUACCUGUGACCUUUAGGCAUAGUGUUGGCUGACCAACCUUGUAAUGAGGGUAAUAACCCUAAUCUGGAGUAAAAGUAACUCCUGUUAUAUGAUGCCGGUUUACAAUAAAACCAUUCCGGGUUGUGAUAAACACCGGUUUAUUCCAUACUAGUGACUAUGAGUCAAAACCAGACCGGGCUGAUAGUCUCCGGAUUAUAACUUGACCAUGUACUGACAACUUGUAGUUGACAGCCUAACCGGGUUGAUAAACACCGGUUGGAAAACAUCACAAAUCUUAUCAAAAGAAAGAUGAACUUAGCAAAAGGCAAAUAAAACCGUUGUAGUCGAGGCUUUUCACGGGCUGCCAGGCCCCAAAUUUGAUCAAGAGGUGUAGCUAUGGUUCGGGUUCGACCAAGCCCCCAAGUGAUGCUGUGGCAUUACGCCGAUCAAGAGGUGUAGCUAUGGUUAGGGUUCGACCAAGCCCCCAAGUGAUGUUGUGGCAUUACGCUGAUCAAGAGGUGUAGCUAUGGUUCGGGUUCAACCAAGCCCCCAAGUGAUGCUGUGGCAUUACGCCGAUCAAGAGGUGUAGCUAUGGUUCGGGUUCGACCAAGCCCCCAAGUGAUGUUGUGGCAUUACGCCGAUCAAGAGGCGUAGCUAUGGUUCGGAUACGACCAAGCCCCCAAGUCAUGCUGUGGCAUUGCGCCGAUCAACUGUCGUGGAAUUGUCACAGCAGAUGUCCUAAUGAAAGGACUUACUCGUGAGGCCAACGCAUCUAUUGUUGGGGAAUGUAGCAAUAAUUCAAAAUUUUCCUACGUGUCACCAAGAUCAAUCUAGGAGAUGCUAGCAACGAGAGAGAGGGAGUGCAUCUUCAUACCCUUGAAGAUCGCUAAGCGGAAGCGUUACAAGAACGCGGUUGAUGGAGUCGUACUCGCGGCGAUUCAAAUCGCGGAAGAUCCGAUCUAGCGCCGAACGGACGGCGCCUCCGCGUUCAACACACGUACAGCCCGGGGACGUCUCCUCCAUCUUGAUCCAGCAAGGGGAGAGGAGAAGUUGAGGGAGAACUCCAGCAGCACGACGGCAUGGUGGCAAUGGAGCUCGUGGUUCUCCGGCAGAGCUUCGCUAAGCACUACGGAGGAGGAGGAGGAGUUGGAGGGGCUACGCCAGGGAUGUGGUAUAGCUGCCCUCCCACCCCCUCACUAUAUAUAGGGGGAAGGGGAGAGGGGGCCGGCCCCUCUAGAUGGAUCUAGAGGAGGAGGCAGCGGCCAGGGGAAACCCUAGAUGGGUUUGGGCGCCCCCACCCCCUAGGAAACUUGCCCCCCGCGCCCCCACCUCUCCUGGUUACGUGAGAGGGGUUGGGAGGGGCGCACAGCCCCUUAGUGGGCUGGUUUUCCCCUUCCCCUUGGCCCAUAAGGCCCCCCAACGCUUGCCGGGGCCUCCGAAACCCCUUUCGGACAUGCUGGCCAUAGCCUGGUACCCUCGGAACAAUUCCGGAGUCCAAUACACUUCGUCCAAUAUACCGAUCUUCACCUCCGGACCAUUCCGGAGCUCCUCGUCAUGUCCGGGAUCUCAUACAGGACUCCGAACAACCUUCGGUAACCACAUACUAUUUCCCAUAACAACUCUAGCGUCACCGAACCUUAAGUGUGUAGACCCUACGGGUUCGGGAACCAUGUAGACAUGACCGAGACGUUCUCCAGCCAAUAACCAACAGCAGGAUCUGGAUACCCAUGUUGGCUCCCACAUGUUCCACGAUGAUCUCAUCGGAUGAACCACGAUGUCGGGGAUUCAAUCAAUCCCGUAUACAAUUCCAUUUAUCCAUCGGUAUGUUACUUUCCCGAGAUUCGAUCGUCGGUAUCCCAAUACCUCGUUCAAUCUCGUUACCGGCAAGUCUCUUUACUCAUUCCGUAACGCAUGAUCCCGUGGCUAACUCCUUAGUCACAUUGAGCUCAUUAUGAUGAUGCAUUACCGAGUGGGCCCAGAGAUACCUCUCCGUCAUACGGAGUGACAAAUCACUGUCUCGAUUCGUGCCAACCCAACAGACACUUUCGGAGAUACCUGUAGUGCACCUUUAUAGCCACCCAGUUACGUUGUGACGUUUGGUACACCCAAAGCAUUCCUACGGUAUCCGGGAGUUGCACAAUCUCACGGUCUAAGGAAAUGAUACUUGACAUUAGAAAAGCUCUUAGCAAACGAACUACACGAUCUUGUGCUAUGCUUAGGAUUGGGUCUUGUCCAUCACAUCAUUCUCCUAAUGAUGUGAUCCCGUUAUCAAUGACAUCCAAUGUCCAUGGUCAGGAAACCAUAACCAUCUAUUGAUCAACGAGCUAGUCAACUAGAGGCUUACUAGGGACAUGUGUGGUCUAUGUAUUCACACAUGUAUUAUGGUUUCCAGUUAAUACAAUUAUAGCAUGAACAAUAGACAAUUAUCAUGAACAAGGAAAUAUAAUAAUAACCAUUUUAUUAUUGCCUCUAGGGCAUAUUUCCAACAGUCUCCCACUUGCACUAGAGUCAAUAAUAUAGUUCACAUCACUAUGUGAUUGUAAUGAAUCCAAUACCCAUGGGGUUUGUUCAUAUCUCGCUUGUGAGAGAGGUUAUUAGUCAACGGGUCUGAACCUUUCAGAUCCGUGUGUGCUUUACAAAUCUCUAUGUCAUCUUGUAGAUGCAGCUACCACGCGCUACUUGGAGCUAUUCCAAAUAACUGCUCGACUAUACGAAUCCGGUUUUCUACUCAGAGUCAUCCGGAUUAGUGUCAAAGUUUGCAUCGACGUAACCCUUUACGACGAACUCUUUUACCACCUCCAUAAUCGAGAAAAUUCCUUAGUCCACUAGUUACUAAGGAUAAGUUCGACCGCUGUCAUGUGAUCCAUUCCUGGAUUACUAUUGUACCCCUUGACUAACUCAUGGCAAGGCACACUUCAGGUGCGGUACACAGCAUAGCAUACUGUAGAGCCUACGUCUAAAGCAUAGGGGACGACCUUCGUCCUUUCUCUCUCUUCUGCCGUGGUCAGGUCUUGACUCUUACUCAAUACUCACACCUUGUAACACAGCCAAGAACUCCUUCUUUGCUGAUCUAUUUUGAACUCCUUCAAAAUCUUGUCACGGUAUGUAUUCAUUUGAAAGUACUAUUAAGCGUUUUUUAUCUAUCCUUAUAGAUCUUGAUGCUCAAUUUUCAAGUAGCUUAAUCCAGGGUUUCCAUUGAAAAACACUUUUCAAAUAACCCUGUAUGCUUUCCAGAAAUUCUACAUCAUUUCUGAUCAACAAUAUGUUAACAACAUAUACUCAUCAAAAAUUCUAUAGUGCUCCCACUCACUUCUUUGGAAAUACAAGUUUCUCAUAAACUUUGUAAAAACCCAAAAUCUUUGAUCAUCUCAUCAAAGCGUACAUUCCAACUCCGAGAUGCUUACUCCAGUCCUUAGAAGGAUUGCUGGAGCUUUGCAUACUUGUUAGCAUCUUUCAGGAUUGACAAAACCUUCUGGUUGUAUCACAUACAACCUUUCCUCAAGAAAAUCGUCGAGGAAACAAAGUUUUGACAUCCAGCCUGCAAGAUUUCAUAAAUAAUGCAGUAACUGCUAAUAUGGUUCCAACGGACUCUUAGCAUCGCUACGAGUGAGAAAGUCUCAUCGCAGUCAACUCCUUGAACUUGUCGGAAAACAAACGACAAGUCGAGCUUUCUUAAUGGUGACACUUACCAUCAUUGUUUGUCUUCCUUUUAAAAUCCAUCUGCUCCCAACAACCUUACGACCAUCAAGUAGUUCUUCCAAAGUCUAUACUUUGUUUUUAUACAUGGAUCCUCUCUCGGAUUUUAUGGCCUCGAGCCAUUCGUUGGAAUCCGGGCCCACCAUCGCUUCUCCAUAGCUCGUAGGUUCAUUAUUGUCCAGCAACAUGACUUCCAAGACAGGAUUAUGUACCACUCUGAAGUAGUACGCAUCCUUGUCGACCUACGAGGUUUGGUAGUGACUUGGUCCGAAGUUUCAUGAUCACUAUCAUAAGCUUCCACUUCAAUUGGUGUAGGUGCCACAGGAACAACUUCCUGUGCCCUGCUACACACUAGUUGAAGUCAUGGUUCAAUAACCUCAUCAAGUCUCCACUAUCCUCCCACUCAAUUCUUUCGAGAGAAAUUUUUCCUCGAGAAAGGACCCGUUACUAGAAACAAUCACUUUUGCUUCCAGAUCUGAAAUAGGAGGUAUACCCAACUGUUUUGGGUAUUCUAUGAAGAUGCAUUUAUCCGCUUUGGGUUCGAGCUUAUCAGCCUGAAACUUUUUCACAUAAGCAUCGCAGCCCCAAACUGUUAAGAAACGACAGCUUAGGUUUCUCUAAACCAUAGUUCAUACGGUGUCGUCUCAACGGAAUUGCGUGGUGCCCUAUUUAAAGUGAAUGCGGUUGUCUCUAAUGCCUAGCCCAUAAAUGAUAGCGGUAAUUCGAUAAGAGACAUCAUGGUAUGCACCAUAUCCAAUAGGGUGCAGUUAUGAUGUUCGGACACACCAUCAGACUAUGGUGUUCCAGGCAGUAUUAGUUGUGAAACAAUUUCCACAAUGUCUUAAUUGUGUGCCAAACUCGUAACUCAGAUAUUCAUCUCUAUGAUCAUAUCACAGACAUUUUAUCCUCUUGUCACGACGAUCUUCAACUUCACUCUGAAAUUACUUGAACCUUUCAAUAAUUCAGACUUGUGUUUCAUCAAGUAAAUAUACUCAGCAUCUACUCAAAUCAUAUGUGAAGUAAGAACAUAAUGAUAUCCACUGCAUGCCUCGGCACUCAUUGGACUGCACACAUCAAAAUGUAUUACUUCCAACAAGUUGCUUUCUUGUUCCAUCUUACUGAAAACGAGGCCUUUCAGUCAUCUUGCCCAUGUGGUAUGAUUUGCAUGUCUCAAGUGAUUCAAAAUCAAGCGAGUCCAAACGAUCCAUCUGUAUGGAGUUUCUUCAUGCAUAUCUACCAAUAGACAUGGUUCGCAUGUCUCAAUCUUUUCAAAAAUGAGUGAGUCCAAAGAUCCAUCAACAUGGAGCUUCUUCAUGCGUAUUAUACCAAUAUGACUCAAAUGGCAGUGCCAUAAGUAUGUGGUACUAUCAUUACUAUCUUAUAUCUUUUGGCAUGAACAUGUGUAUCACUACGAUCGAGAUUCAAUAAACCAUUCAUUUUAGGUGCAAGACCAUUGAAGGUAUUACUCAAAUAAACAGAGUAACCAUUAUUCUCCUUAAAUGAAUUACCGUAUUGCGAUAAACAUAAUCCAAUCAUGUCUAUGCUCAACGCAAACACCAAAUAACAAUUAUUUAGGUUUAACGCCAAUCUCGAUGGUAGAGGGAGCAUGCGAUGCUUGAUCACAUCAACCUUGGAAACACUUCCAACACAUAUCGUCAUCUCACCUUUAGCUAGUCUCCGUUUAUUCCGUAGCCUUUUAUUUCGAGUUACCAACACUGAGCAACCGAACCGGUAUCUAAUACCCUGGUGCUACUAGGAGUACUAGUAAAGUACACAUUAAUAUAAUGUAUAUCCAAUAUACUUCUGUCGACCUUGCCUGCCUUCUCAUCUACCAAGUAUCUAGGGUAGUUCUGCUUCAGUGACCGUUCCCCUCAUUACAGAAGCACUUAUCCCUUGCCCUUCUUGAAACUAGUGGUUUUACUAACCAUCAACAAUUGAUGCUCCAACUUGAUUUCUACUUUCGCGGUGUCAAACAUCGCGAGUUGCUCAAGGAUCAUCAUGUCUAUCCCUGAUAUGUUAUAGUUCAUCACGAAGCUCUAAUAGCUUGGUGGCAGUGACUAUGGAGAACCAUCACUAUCUCAUCUGGAAGAUUAACUCCCACUCGAUUCAAGCGAUUGUAGUACUCAGACAAUCUGAGCACAUGCUUAACGAUUGAGCUUUUCUCCCUUAGUUUGCAGGCUUAAGAAACUUGUCAGAGGUCUCAUACCUCUUGACGUGGGCACUAGUCUGAAAUCCCAAUUUCAGUCUUUGGAACAUCUCAUAUGUUCUGCGACGUUUCAAAACCGUCUUUGGUGCCACAAUUUUAAACCGUUAGCAUUACGCACUAAACUAUACGUAGUCAUCAAAACGUGUAUGUUAGAUGUUUCGCAACAUCUACAGACGACGCUCGAGGUUCAGCACACCAAGUGGUACAUCAAGGACAUAAGCCUUCUGUGCAGCAAUGAGGACAAUCCUCAGUAUACGGACCCAGUCCGCAUAAUUGCUACUGUCAACUUUCAACUAAAUUUUCUCUAGGAACAUAUCUUAAAUAGUAGAACUAAAGCGUAAGCUAUGACAUAAUUUGCAAAGACCUUUUGACUAUGUUCAUGAUAAUUAAGUUCAUCUGAUUAUUUAAUGAACUCCCGCUUAGAUAGACAUCCCUCUAUUCAUCUAAGUGAUACAUGAUCCGAGUCAACUAGGCCGUGUCCGAUCAUCACGUGAGACGGACUAGUCAUCAUCGGUGAACAUCUUCAUGUUGAUCGUAUCUACUAUACGACUCAUGUUCAAUCUUUCGGUCUCUUGUGUUCCGAGGCCAUUUCUGUACAUGCUAGGCUCGUCAAGUCAACCUAAGUGUUUCGCAUGUGUAAAUCUGGCUUACACCCGUUGUAUGCGAACGUUAGAAUCUAUCACACCCGAUCAUCACGUGGUGCUUCGAAACAACGAACCUUCGCAACGGUGCACUGUUAGGGGGAACACAUCUCUUGAAAUUUUAGUGAGGUAUCAUCUUAUUUAUGCUACCGUCGUUCUAAGCAAAUAAGAUGUAAACAUGACAAACAUCACAUGCAAAUCAUAAAGUGACAUGAUAUGGCCAGUAUCAUCUUGCGCCUUUUGAUCUCCAUCUUUGAGGCGCGGCAUGAUCACCUUCGUCACCGGCAUGACACCAUGAUCUCCAUCAUCGUGUCUUCAUGAUGUUGUCUCGCCAACUAUUACUUCUACUACUAUGGCUAACGGUUAGCAAUAAAGUAAAGUAAUUACAUGGUGUUUUUCAUUGACACGCAGGUCAUACAAUAAAUUAAGACAACUCAUAUGGCUCCUGCCGGUUGUCAUACUCAUCGACAUACAAGUCGUGAUUCCUAUUACAAGAACAUGAUCAAUCUCAUACAUCACAUAUAUAUAAUUCAUCACAUCCUUUUGGCCAUAUCACAUCACAUAGCAUACCCUGCAAAAACAAGUUAGACGUCCUCUAAUUGUUGUUGCAUGUUUUACGUGGCUGCUAUGGGUUUCUAGCAAGAAUGUUUCUUACCUACGCAAAAGCCACAACGGUGAUAUGCCAAUUGCUAUUUACCCUUCAUAAGGACCCUCUUCAUCGAAUCCGAUCCGACUAAAGUGGGAGAGACAGACACCCGCUAGCCACCUUAUGCAUCAAGUGCAUGUCAGUCGGUGGAACCUGUCUCACGUAAGAGUACGUGUAAGGUCGGUCCGGGCCGCUUCAUCCCACAAAGCCGCCGAAUCAAGAUAAGACUAGUAACGGUAAGCAAAUUGAACAAAUCAUCGCCCACAACUACUUUGUGUUCGACUCGUGCAUAGAAUCUACGCAUAGACCUAGCUCAUGAUGCCACUGUUGGGGAACGUAGCAAUAAUUAAAAAAUUUCCUACGUGUCACCAAGAUCAAUCUAGGAGAUGCUAGCAACGAGAGAGAGGGAGUGCAUCUUCGUACCCUUGAAGAUCGCUAAGCGGAAGCGUUACAAGAACGCGGUUGAUGGAGUCGUACUCGCGGCGAUUCAAAUCAUGGAAGAUCCGAUCUAGCGCCGAACGGACGGCGCCUCCGCGUUCAACACACGUACAGCCCGGGGACGUCUCCUCCUUCUUGAUACAGCAAGGGGAGAGGAGAAGUUGAGGGAGAACUCCAGCAGCACGACGGCAUGGUGGCAAUGGAGCUCAUGGUUCUCCGGCAGAGCUUCGCUAAGCACUACGGAGGAGGAGGAGGAGUUGGAGGGGCUGCGCCAGGGAUGUGGUAUGGCUGCCCUCCCACCCCCUCACUAUAUAUAGGGGGAAGGGGAGAGGGGGCCGGCCCCUCUAGAUGGAUCUAGAGGAGGAGGCGGCGGCCAGGGGAAACCCUAGAUGGGUUUGGGCGCCCCCACCCCCUAGGAAACUUGCCCCCCAAGCCGGGAGGGGCGGCUGCCCUAGGGGUGGCGCCCCCACCUCUCCUGGUUACAUGAGAGGGGUUGGGAGGGGUGCACAGCCCCUUAGUGGGCUGGUUUGCCCCUUCCCCUUGGCCCAUAAGGCCCCCCAACGCUUGUCGGGGCCUCCGAAACCCCUUUCGGACAUGCUGGCCAUAGUCUGGUACCCCCGGAACAAUUCCGGACUCCAAUACCCUUCGUCCAAUAUACCGAUCUUCACCUCCGGACCAUUCCGGAGCUCCUCGUCAUGUCCGGGAUCUCAUCCGGGACUCCGAACAACCUUCGGUAACCACAUACUAUUUCCCAUAACAACUCUAGCGUCACCGAACCUUAAGUGUGUAGACCCUACGGGUUCGGGAACCAUGUAGACAUGACCGAGACAUUCUCCGGCCAAUAACCAACAGCAGGAUCUGGAUACCCAUGUUGGCUCCCACAUGUUCCACGAGGAUCUCAUUGGAUGAACCACGAUGUUGGGGAUUCAAUCAAUCCCGUAUACAAUUCCCUUUGUCCAUCGGUAUGUUACUUGCCCGAGAUUCGAUCGUCGGUAUCCCAAGACCUCGUUACCGGCAAGUCUCUUUACUCGUUCCGUAACGCAUGAUCCCGUGGCUAACUCCUUAGUCACAUUGAGCUCAUUAUGAUGAUGCAUUACCGAGUGGGCCCAGAGAUACCUCUCCGUCAUACGGAGUGACAAAUCACUGUCUCGAUUCGUGCCAACCCAACAGACACUUUCGGAGAUACCUGUAGUGCACCUUUAUAGCCACCCAGUUACGUUGUGACGUUUGGUACACCCAAAGCAUUUCUACGGUAUCCGGGAGUUGCACAAUCUCACGGUCUAAGGAAAUGAUACUUGACAUUAGAAAAGCUCUUAGCAAACGAACUACACGAUCUUGUGCUAUGCUUAGGAUUGGGUCUUGUCCAUCACAUCAUUCUCCUAAUGAUGUGAUCCCGUUAUCAAUGACAUCCAAUGUCCAUGGUCAGGAAACCAUAACCAUCUAUUGAUCAACGAGCUAGUCAACUAGAGCCUUACUAGGGACAUGUUGUGGUCUAUGUAUUCACACAUGUAUUACGGUUUCCAGUUAAUACAAUUAUAGCAUGAACAAUAGACAAUUAUCAUGAACAAGGAAAUAUAAUAAUAACCAUUUUAUUAUUGCCUCUAGGGCAUAUUUCCAACAUCUAUGUGCUAGCUUGAGAGGGGUUGAGCGGAAUCGAGAGACGCGACACAAGACAGGGAUUUAGACAGCUUCGGGCCCCGGGAAACAUCGUCCGGUAACAACCCUACAUGUUGUUUGAGGCUAGGUCUCAUUAUCAUCACGAGGGAGUCGCCGGUAAACCGGCUCUUUGUGUCUAGCCCUAGAGAUUGUUUCUUCUUCCUGCUUGUCCCCCUUUGGGGAGCCCUGCCCCUCCUUAUAUAUGUUGAAGGGGCGGGUUACAUGUGGAGUCCUAUUAGGAUUAGGACUAGUCUAUCGUCCGGGUCUUAACUCCUUGUAAAACAAAUAUUUCUCACACCUUUCGUCUUAAACCGGCCCACCAUAGUAUGAACCGGCCUUCAUGAACCGCCCGUUGGGCCACCGGGUCUUGUCGCUCCUCUGACCCGCCUGCCGGAUUACCAAUGAAUCGUAAACCGCCAGGUCCAAACGGGUCGCCAGUGAAUCGUUAAGUCUCAGCCGGGUCUCAACUAAACCGCCAAGUCCGGCCGGGUUAUACUUCCGGCCGGUUUACGCCGCGGGGUAUAUCCCCGACAGGACCCGAAACAUGCACCCUGCUGCCGGUUGGGUAAUCUCUAUCGUGGCCAUCUCUGUGUGCUCUGUUCCUGUCAACCAGACCUUGAACGAGAAUGGAUCUCGCGUCAAAGCCCGGCUCCCGGGGGUCGACUGGAAUCCUUCGCCCUCCAUUGUGAGGGCGUCUGUCAUCGUGUUGCCGAGGCGCGUAUGACCCACUCCUUGGGGGAGGCGUGGGUACUCGACGAUGAUCAUACUGGUCACGAUUCCUGUACUGAUCCUGUCGAUCUCCACGUCCCUCACGCCUUGGAGGCGAUCUUGGGCUGUGAGCCGACUGAACUGUGUCUGCCAUCACAGAUCUACUAUGAAUCCUAUUCCGAGACUGUGACACUGCUGUGUUCUGCUCCCCUGCCGCCCGGAGCAAAGCCCGGAUCUGCAUCAAACCCCUACCAGCCUCCGACUGGGAAGGCUGAAUCGACUCUGCUAUUCGGGCAGCAGCCGUGAGAUUCUGGAUCGGAGUUCGAUAUACCUGGGUUGAAGGCGGAAAGAGUUGGCGUCAAAUGGAUUCAGGAACUCGCUGCCGAGCACGCUCGUCGAGUGCGUGCUGGAGAUUCUCCAGUCGAGUGCGCUCAGCCAAGUUGGCCAGGCACACCUCCUCCAAUGCCCGGGCCUCGGGGGUUUCUCCAACGAUAGGAGUGUGAAGUGCAUCCAUGUUACGGCGGCGAAGCUCUUCCCUCAGCUGCGAAGAGAGGGGCUCGGGGCGGUACUCCUCGUGGGCACGCGACAGAUCGCCUCCGCCAUCACCACCGCCGUCGCGGGGGAAGCCAGGAGGACUGCGCGGUCCGUUGACCAUCAGGACUUCCACCGCAGGGUCACUGCUGUCGCACUCGGAUGCGGUCUCAGCGGAACCAGUCGAACAGGCCGUAGAGAGUUUCGUCGGGCUCGAUUGCCGCGACUUGAGGGGUGGCCGACUGGCGAGCCACCGCGUGCCUCACCCACCACUUAAGCCUCGACCGACCGGAACGCUUAUGCCGGCGGGCCGCGGGGAGUGAAGACGCCACAGGAGCCGACCGAUACUGGGCCGACGGCUGCCGCAGGAGGACGCCGCGGACGCACGCGCGAAAGUGCGUUGCCCCGCGGACGGGGAGCGCCUCGACGUCGAGUGGAGCCUCUUGGAGCCAAGCGGAGUCGUCGGCAACGAACACGAGCGCGCCGAGACGGAUCUCACGGCCCUCAGUCAAUCCUCCGCCUGAAACCAUGCUGAUGGGGAUUUGAAAAAUUGCAACUUCUCCAACAAGUCACUAAAACACCUGCCCCACGGUAGGCGCCAACUGUCGUGGUUCUAAGUCUGACAGUAGAAUGGGGGUAGGGAUGUAAAGGCAAGGUCCUAGCUAUGGAGAAGCUGUACGCACGAGUUUUACGAGUUCAUGCCCUUCUCGGGGGAAGUAACAGCCCUACGUCUCGGAGCCCGGAGGCGGUCGACUGGAUUAUAUGCGUGUGUGUUACAGGGGGUGCGAACCCUUGUGCUAGUGGAGGGGGGUGGCUUAUAUAGAGUGCGCCAGGACCCCAGCCAGUCCACGUUACAAGGAGUUCAAUGUUCAUAAAGUAGGAGCGUUACAGGUAACGUCUGCAGUAAAGUAAUAUAAAUGACUAUUAAGUCUAAGAGUAAAUGCCCGACUGUUGCUGCGCGGAGUGGCUUUAGGUCUUCUGCACGUCGAGUGGUUUAGUGGUCGAGUGACAUAAACAAGGGGGGUCUCCGAGUGAAUGGUAGGUCGAGUGGAUUGCACUCGACACCUUUGUUGGGUCCCCUCUAUUUACUCCUGAACCUCUUUGCUUCUAGGACAAGGACCUUAGGUAGGACGUAUAGGUCAGGCCUAUUACCCUACCCCAGGUCUAUGUCCUCAUCAUUGGGCGCGGGGGCGGUUGGAUGUGUCUGGCCGCCGGGCGGACAUGUCCGGCGGCGCGGAGGGGAGAGUAGUUAGGGUUCAUCCGCGAAAAAAUGGAGGGGAGGUCCUAUUUAUAGCUAAAGGGAGCUAGGAGAGUCCAAAUGGGGAGCGGUUUUCGCCCACACGAUCACGAUCCAACGACCGAGAGCAUGGAGGGGGUUUGGAUGGGCUAAUGAGCUGUGGUGAAGGGGGGCUGGGCUGCAAAGAGAGAGGGGUUUCGGGGUUACACGGUUAACCGUUAGAGCGUCAAACGACCUCCAAAUGGAACGAAAAUUGACAGGCGGUCUACCUACUCUAAAACAACACCGCACGCCAAGUUUCAACCCAUUCCGAGAACAUUUUUCGGCCACUAAUAAAAUAAUAUUUCAGAGGUGCCGGGGGCGUGAGAGAGUGUCGGAACGCGAAACGGACAAUGGGGAAAAAGACCGGAUGCAAGUUUUGAAAAAUAUGAGGAUGCAAUGCAUAUGAUGACAUGGCAAAAUGCAACACGCAAGCAAAUGACAUGGCAACGACGGCGAAUAACUGGAAGACACCUGGCGCAUCGGAUUCGGGGCGUUACAGGAGUAGACCACUUGGGAGGUGAUCACGGACUUGUCAAGAGUCGUUCGUCCGAUGGUGGUGAUGUUUUUGCCCUCAUAAGUUGUUAGCUUGUUUGCGGCCUUGUCCACUAGAAAUUGAAGAUCCACCAACUUUAGUUGCCAAACUGAAAGAGGGAGCCCCAAGUAUCGUAGAGGGAAGGAAGCCCUAGCAGCCGGCAACCUCUGGGUCAGACGUCCCAAAUCGAGGUGGUUGCAUCGGAUGGGCACAAAAGAGCUCUUGUUGAAGUUAGUACACAGACCCGUGACCUCACCGAAGCCCCUCAAAAUGUUUGCAAGGUUGUCGACGUCCCUUUUGAUCGGAGCCAAGAAGACGGCCGCAUCGUCUGCAUAGAGGGAGGUCCUCAUCAUGGCUCCCCUACCCCUGAUUUUGUGGAGGAGCCCCUUUCUCGUAGCCACCUCGAGAAUUCUUUGGAGUGGAUCAAUGGCGAUGACGAAAAGCAGCGGGGAUACGGGGUCCCCUUGCCGAAGGCCCUGUCCAUGCUUAAUUGGGUCGCCGGCAAUACCAUUGAGGAUGAUCCUCGAGGAGAAGCUAAGAAGGGCUGCAAUCCAGUCCCUAAACUUGCUAGGGGAUCCUCGCCGUUGGAGAAGGUCGAGCAAGUACUCCCACUUCACGGUGUCGAAGGCCUUGCGGAUGUCAAGCUUGAAGAGAAGUGAAGGGGUCAGUUUCAUAAAAUAGAUUUGCUUCCGUGCACAACACAAGAUGAUCAUUUUGCGAAAGUUUUCAUAAAAUACGACUUCAAAUAUAUAUGUAAGAGCGUAGGCGAAAGCAUCAUCAUACAGGCGGUGAUCUUUCAUCAUGAACCAAAAGGGACCAUCUACAACGGCGAGGUCAAAAACGGAUUGUUUUACAGUAGGACGCACAUAUUCCACUACACACGUAGAUAGAUAAACUAGCAGCAGCGCAGACACUUUCAGAGAGUUGAGACAACCAUCGCACCCUUCAGCGGCGCCUUGCAGCGUUAACUCAAAAUUCCACACUUGCGUGAUUCAGACACAAGACUUCAGGAGGAG